RNAcentral lists this long non-coding RNA (56344 nucleotides) under Volvox carteri. RNAcentral describes it as "long non-coding RNA (VCAR_LNC001396)". The record is from RNAcentral. Lineage: Eukaryota; Viridiplantae; Chlorophyta; Chlorophyceae; Chlamydomonadales; Volvocaceae.
ACAUACACAUACACACACAACCGCACCCACCUGCGUUCAGAGCAUUCAUUACCGGCUCGAGGAGCAUCGCCACGAGGGCGGGAAGAGCCACAGCCCAAAUCUCCUUGUCGUACGGUGACGUCGACAGCUGCUGCACCCGGCGCUUGAGCGCGGCAAGAGGGCUGUCAUCCUCCUCCUGUGCAAAGGCACUGGCGGCUGCUGCUGCUGCUGCUGUGGCUACUCUGGGAGACCGGUUUGUAGCGAGGCGGAAGCGCUGGGUAAGGCUAGCUGUGGUGGUGCCAAUAGAGCCAUGCUUACAUUGUCCCAGAGCUGAAAGCAGCAGUCGGUUCGCAUAAUGUAGAUGUGGAUAAGCAGUUGAUAUGUUAAGGGUGGUAGGAGACAAGCUAGUUCGUUUGAGCAGCCCACAAGGCUGCAUGGCCUGUGUGGUCAAUACUGCCGGCAGUAUUGUUAUUUGCUAGAUGCUAUUUCAGGUGAGGUUCUAUGUCACUAUUUGAAAUGUGUAAAGCAUUUAUGGCAUUCCGUGCGGUAAAGCGGGAAAUGUGAUUAUCCUUCCAGCUAUAUGGCAUAUCCCACGUCUUUUCGUUUCCAAAGAUAGUUCUACAAUCCAGAAGUAAAUUCCAAGAACGUGGGGACCUUACGAUCAUGAUCGCGUCAGAAUGUACGGCCUCACGCAGUCAUCACGACCGACAAGCUCCCAAACCAAACAAACGUGGUGUUGUGUACGUGUGUAAGAAGUAAAAUGCUUCAUGAAAGCUCAUGACAACGCCUGGGACGCUGCCUUAGUUGGGCCUGCGCGUGGUCCCUGGUACAAAGUUGUGGUAGAUUUGCUUGCGGAAACACAAAGAGAGUGCUGUAAAGACAAGAUGACAUCGGAGUUUCAUUUUCUAUAUUUGAUUCAAGCUGUCGGCGACAGCUUCUGUACUAAGAGACAUCAAACACCUCCGUUACUAAUAGAAAUGUCUGUGUGGCAUGUGGCAAGUGGCAAGUGGGUUGCGACUACGAUAAUGUGGCUUUCCCACCAUCCAUCAAAAAUCAACGCAGAAAACGUGACUCUGUCCGUUGUGCACCCACUAUGCGAUGUGUGAUCGCCGAUCGGAACCCUAGAGCCCAGGCCUACCGAUGCCGAAGAACUCGAAGUUGGCGUAGGAUCCGCCGGUGUUAUAAAUAACAGUUUUACAUAAUUAAAUUAUCCUCUGAUAUCUUGACUGGCUAGCAUUUAGCAGCCAACCUUGCGGCGUUAUCCUCAAAACAUUCACCGACGCCUAGUGGAACUUCCGAACACAAAGAACAUAGCCACAUAUCUUCAAUCUUUUGGGUUUAUCAGUUAACCUGCCUUGCCUUGCGCUGUCCGGCCUCGGACAGCCUCAAUGUUAGAUGGUGAGUAACUAACUAGGUAAGAUGAUUAGACAGCGACAUGAGGCCACUGCCCUAGGAAGUGCAUAAAUCCUUUUCCUCCCUGGGCAUUGAUUGAAGAUAUUGCUGCAGCCUGCCCUUGCUUCUGCGCUCCUGCACAGCGCUUCGCAUCGACGCACCAAAGGCACGAUCGACGCGCCUCGACUCAACCGAAGAAUAUUGCUUCGCACUGCUCUGCACGACUCGCUAAGAUGCUGUCCAUGUUUCCAAAUAUACUUAAUAACAUUAUCAACAUCGCCUUCAUGACGCAUAAUUAGCUCUCCUUAAAUCCAAACGAAUGAGGUUAUGGACGUUCAAGUUCACUCGCCGUUGUCGUCACCCCCACCUAGGACUCAAGAAGUCAGACGCCCAGAAAACGAGGCUGGAGCUGCCGCACACAGUAAUCCCCAAAACCACUAGCAUCACCUGCAUCACCAGCACCAUCAUCAGCAACAGAAACAGGAACAGGACUGCACUCAUUCGCUAUGCCGCUUUCCGCGCCCCACGCCGCCACUGACGCCAGCGACAGCAUCGGCGUCGGCGUCGGCGGCCCUGGUGACCUCCGGCUGCCCGUGCAAGAUCGCAUGCGAGCCGCAGCCUCCGCCACCUGUGCCGGUGCCGGAGCCGCGUCAUCGUCGUCGUCGUCAGCGGCGACAGCGGCGGCGGCCGCGGCGGCGGCGACAGCGACGGCGACGGCUGCGGCGGCCACGACAACGGCCACAGCUACUGAAGCCCAGCUUGUCAGCUCUUUUUUGGAUGUUGCUACUGCCGAUGCGAUUCUCGUGUUCCCCGACGGGCGAAGCCUGCCGUGCCAUUCACAGGUACGACUUAUCUUCCUCCUCUCUCCUGACGUCGGUUUCUGGGAAUGUGAAGACAUGAAGUGCACGUUUUCCUUGGGUAUGCUGUCUUCCUUGGGUUUGCUUUGCUUCAUGAGUGUAGUGUUUUCUUUACUGGAUAAUGUUUUUCCUCCAUGUCCUUGUCCUCCUCCUUCUGCCCCUUCUCCCCUUCUCUCCUCCCCCUGCCCAGGUCCUAACUGCGUGGUCUGGCGUAGUCAGGGACCUCCUCCAAUCAACUGCCUGUGGCAGUAGCGGCAAUAGCAAUAGCAGUAGCAGUAGCCGCGGCAGCAGCAGCGGCGGCGGCGCAGAGGCUUGGCCUGCGACUGACACUGCAGCUUCUGCUGCUACUGCUGCCAACUCCGCUGGGUCCCAUGGGUCAGGAGUUGGCGGCCGGUUUGAUUCUUCCUCCGGCUGUAGCAGCCCUCCGCAGCUGUUGCUACGUCUUCCUUUGGUGGGUGCGGAUUCCGUGGAGGACUGGGUGAGGUUGCUGGAGCUGAUAUACCCGCCAACACGGCUACCCCGGCCUGCCAUUGGAUGGGUGAGUGUGUGAGUAGGAGGUCGGCGGUUGCGAAGAUGGUACGACGUACGGGUCGGCUUGGAAGUUCGGUACGGCGUACGGCGCACGGUACGGCGCAAGCAAUUGUUGAUAUUGGGUUGUUCGUGGGGCUCGGGCCGAAGAGGAGUCUUCACCAACUGGUGGCCGGUGCGGGGGGAAAGACGAACCACACCCGGUGCGGGGGGGGGGGGGGCUGCCACCCUUAAAGAGAGAUGCAUGUCACGGCAUGUGUAUAGGGUUGGACGGUACGACACGUACAACAUGUAUGAGACGGACAUCACGUCUGUGCUCGCGCCCCUCCUGUCCACUCCUUCACACACAGGACAAUAUCGACUCCGUGAUUGUGCUGGCGGACAAGUACGGCAUGUCCGGAUUGUUGCUACUGUGCGAGGCGUUCCUGUUGAGCAACGGUGGCGGCGGUGGCGGCGGCAGUACGACUGGCGCCGCGUUUAGCUGUGACCCGGAGGACCGGGCCUACGUUUGGAAGUGGCUCCAGAGGGCGGAUAGGUUGCGGAUGGAACGGGUGGGUUAUGGUUAGGUUGGUUGGGGUGGUUGGGGUGGUUGGCGGUGGUUGAUAGGUUGGGGGGUUGGGGUGAAGGACGCACAGUACUCACUUGAGACAAAGCAGCGGCAAUACUAAUCACUCUGUAUCGGCGUUCACGGUAUUCUGCCGCCCCGGCAUUCUCCCGGGGGAGUUGGAAUGGGGGGCCUUCCCCUAACCACUGACGGCCAUGGGCCCAUGCUUGCUUUUCUUCCCGCUGCUUGCACAGUGUCUGUAUGUCUGUCUAUGUCUGCCUAUGUCUGUAUUCGGUUCAUCUGUCCGCUGUCUCCGCACGGCCCAGGCUUGCCUGUCUGUCUGUCUGUCUGUCUGUCCCGGCAACCCCCGGGGGGUGGGGUGGGUGGGGGGUGAGGUACGUAGGUUUGCAACGAAUGCAUCGACUUCAUUUGCUCCGAAGCCAUGUUGGGCCCUGGGGGUUACAGUACGGCAGUUUGGGGUGAUGUGGAGGAGGAGCUGCUGGAGGCACUGAGAGGCAGCACGUUGCGCAGGUGGGUUUUAGGGUUUUAGGGUUUUAAGAUUGAUGGUCGCGAACCUGCUACAAACUCCCGAAGCCAAAAUGAAUCCACUGCCUUGCAGUAAAAACCUGGUCUUAGUUUUAUUAUCGCAUUGCCAUUCAUGAUAUUAGUAAUGUUGCCUGCGCGAAUGUCUUGUGAACGGUAAUCUGAUCAAGGAAGUGUACACGCCGGGUGGUGUGAUGGUGCUCUGGUCGAUCAGUGACAGUUCUUGUCAACAUCGUGUUAAGUGAUUCGUUUGUGUUUUGUAAAUUUUGUGUAUUGAUGUUUACCUUAUGAUACACAGGCUGAUCGGGCGACUGGUCAGCGACACUGCCACCAUGAAGGCAGCCCUCCGAAAUGAGGUACGGAUGUACGGAUGUACGGAUUAUGAAAAAUGCCGUAUAUAUGCAGUACAUGUUGAGCAGGUAAUGUUGUAUGGCCGACAUCCUGAGUGACGAUGCGCCUCCUCUGGUGCAUGUUAGUUGCAUGCUGUACGACACAAAACAAUAGCGCGAGAACCAAAUUGACGUUGUCGAAAAUGUCCUCACGUCCUCAAGUCGCCAUUGUGCAUGUCGGACAGGGCAUGAAGGUGUGUUCGGCGGUGUCGUGGUCGUACUCGGUGGGCGGUAACUCUUUUGUCGGCGGCGGCGGCAGCGGCGGCUUAGGAGGAGGAGGAGGAGGAGGAUGGCGAGGAGCGACUCCUACAGAGCACCGGAGGUGGUGGGGUUGCGAAUGUGUAUGUGUGUGUGUGUGUGUGUGUUUGUGUGUGUUAAUUAUCUUCGGAGUCGCGAUAAGGCUCCCCUUAUCGGUGGUACACACGUACAACUUCAUACCGAAGCGAGCUCCGUAGUCUCCAGCGACGUGUUAGACGUCGUGUUGGGCGGCUAGAACCCUGUUUUAUUGUGUGCAUGUGUGCGUUUAUGGGGGGGAAGAAGAUGACACUUCGAGGGGAUGUGCCGUGCGCGGGGGGAUGGAUGCGUGCGAGGGCAUGAGGGCGAGGUCGAUGGAUGGCUGUGAGGACUUCGGUUCGCUCUCCAGCAGCGAUGGGCUGCAGAACUACAUGAUGAUGUGCUGUAUGCUGCCGUACGUCCCAGCAUUGCUACCGUUAAAAUCUGGUCAGCUUGAAACCUGCAACGAAGCUUAAAAUGGCGCUCUCUUUCUUCCCCAACCCCCCACAAACAAUAAUCCCUUUUCUAUUACUUUAUCAAUCGGUUACUGUGAAGUCAUGUUAAGAAACGGAGAAGUGCACGCGCGCCAGCUGUAACCACCAAAUUGACAACAGCAAAGCAGAUUUCCCUAUACUUCCGAGCGCAUGGCGCUGCUACUGCUACUGCAACUGCAACUGCUACUGCUGCUAUUUCUGCUACUGCUGCUGCACCCACUACAUGUGAUGAGCGCAUGCAGGUGGCAGCUAUACGUGGUUGACCAACAGCUGUGUCGCUGGCGACUGAAGGGCAGCUGAGGGAGGGGGGAGGGGGGAGGGGGGGGGGGAGGGUUCCGCCUCUGGACAUCUGGACCUCGGGAUCGGGAAGGGAGAUGAUGGUUUCGACCCGAAGCGCCACACCCGCCAACCGCCAACCGCUAACCCCCACUUGCUACCCGCCACUCGGCAGCAAAUACUCUUUGCUUCUGUCACGUGUCGUGUAACUCUGGUGCCCUCUCCGUACGAUUGCACUGCCGCUGCCUGGAGAGUUGGAAUCUCUUGAUUGAUCUGACUCACACAAGAUGAACUGUGGCGGUUGGCGGUUGGGGGUUGGCGGUUGGGGGUUGGCGGCUGUUUCCCCACAUUGGCCUUUAGAGCCCGCAAGAGGAUAAUACCGCUGUGUAUUCAGUCUGAUAGCCUUUCCCCCUCCCGCCCCACCGCGCCGCGUGUUACCGCGCUGCCUUGCUGGCUCUCUUGCUUGCUUCACUGACACCAUGCGUGUUUUUGUUACACGAGAGAGGGGGAGAGAGAGAGAGGCGCGGUGGGACCAGCAAGCAUGCAUACAUACAGACUGACAAGCCAGGGAGAGAAAAGGGUUUAGGAAUGCCGGCCACGGUUCGGGCACCUGAAGGGGGAAAGUAAAAUCUGUGGGAGAGACGUGGGUAUGCGUGUAUAUGUGUGUAUGUGUGUGUUGUUUUGGCGGGAAUCGAUGAUUGGAGUAGAGGUAAAAAACGGAAGCUACGGCGAGGACGCACACGCACAGCGCAGCAAGUAUGUGCCAGGGCCGCGGGCUGGAGCGGUGGCGGCGGGAGGGAGGUGAAGACAAAGGCCGCCAAGGGAAAAAAAAGGAUAACAUCUCCAUCCCAGCCCCUUUAAUACACGUAAUAGGGUUUAGCUUUUACGCUGAAGGCUUAUUAUUAAGACUACUAGGCUAUUGCAUCAAUAAUAUAAAAGGGCCGCGGGGUUUCAGAUUAACCCUCAGGCCGGCCGUCAUGUACGAGGGGACGGAAGUCGUUGUUGCUGCUUUUGGCGUUGUUGUUUCCAUUGCUGUCACUCGUUGCUAUCGGUCUGUGGGAGUAUUGAUUGUCUGUAAUGACUGUAGUGACUGUCCGCCGCGCACCCAAUCCGGCCACCGCACCAGUUCACCACAUACGCAGCUUACGGUCGUCCGUUUUUUGAACUGCGGAUGUACGGAAGUGCCAGCGUGUCCCAUUCACUCACUAACGUAGGGAUUAACACACACACACACACACGUGCGCGCGCACAAGCACACACACACACACACACACACACACGUGCGCGCGCACACGCACACAUGUGUACAAGGCAAGCAAAAGCUGCUCUGACAGACAGGUCUCUGCGUCUCUGCGUCCAUGAAUCCGGUUCCAUACCUCCCGAGCGCCUCCUAAAUGAAACCGCUUAAGAUAUAAGGUUAAUAUACGGUCACCAAUAAACUGUUAUUAUGUGUUUUUAACUUAGUAUGGAUAAUAAUAAUAAUAAUAUCCACUGCAUUAACUACACCAACGAAACCACGCAAACAGAAAGCUCGUAAAAAAACCGCACAGUCAGUUUGGUAGCUGUCGUACAGUACGGCACACACACAUCGUGUUUAGUUGUGAGCCAAGGCGCGCUCGCUCUGUCAGCAUCUUGAGAGGCCUUUUUCAAUUCAGCGGCCAUCAGCAGCAGCAGCAGCCAGACGAGCGAGUGCGCGAGCGUGCGAGCGAGCAGACAAACUCGGUCGGUCCCCUUACUUUCGACAUCCAUCAGCAGCAGCAGACAGACAGACGACUUUCGCGUAGCGCAAACAAAGAGCAGACAAAGAGCAGCUUCAUGUUUAUGUCCAACCUUCGCUAAAACAAACAUCACAUGUAGCAACGGUAGCAAAGGCACGGAUAAUGCCGUACAAUCAGAUACACAUCAUCUGCAGAUACUAACACUACUCUACUCCUAGACAGUCACCGACGUUACGUCAACACCGCGUCAAGCGCGUGCUGAGAAGGAGCUUAUCAAGAGCAGGGGCUUAUCAAGGUCAGGGCCCCCGUCGCGUCUUCCCCCUCUCGGCUCGGUAUCCACUGGAGCUCUCCACUUCAGCUGGCUGAGCUGCGGACACCACCACCAGGGGGGUAUAUCGUCUGCGCCGACUGCGCCCUUCACCAGAAUCGCACUAUCCUCGCGGCCGGCUCUUUCUUCUUCCACUCCAAGGGGAUUCGAAGCUCCGUCGUCAAGCAUUGCAAGGUGGGACUUGGCACUCGGUCAGGGGCGCAAUCCAUCGACAACUUACCGCCCCAGGAGAUGCCCAGACGGCGCAGGCAGCGGAGCAUGGCCAGGUCAUUGACGUGAACGGCUCUAAGGUACGCUGGACCGCCGUUGCGCUGGUGGGGGAAGGAUGGAUGGAUGGCAAAAGGAAGUGUGAGAGGGAGGACGGCAUCGACUGUGCGGGUGUGGCAACAUGCAUGUAGGGAUUCAUGCGUGCUUGGAUGAUGGAUGGAUGGAAGAUAGGUAGUUGUGCUUGGAGCUUCAUGGCAACCGGCUGAUAUGCUGGUACGGUGCAUGUAAAGCGCAAGUGUCCUUUUAUCAAUACAGCAGCAGCAGUAGUAGCAGCAGCAGCAGUAGCGGCAGCAGUAGUAGCAGCAGCAGUAGUAGCAGCAGCAGCAGCAGUAGUAGCAGCAGCAGUAGUAGCAGCAGCAGUAGUAGCAGUAGUAGCAGCAGCAGUAGUAGCAGCAGCAGUAGUAGCAGCAGCAGUAGUAGCAGCAGCAGAAGCAGCACCAGCAGAAGCAGCUUCUCGCAAGUAAGCGAGCAAAGGAUGGCAGCAAACCCUGAGCCCAAAUACCCACACUUGGCCCCCCUUCUGCUUGCCUACACCCCCCAAAACCCCCCCCCAUCCCACCCCCCCACACCAUCCGCACAUCACACAUGCGACACAACACCCCCAAGCAGGCAGCAGGACCAACCGGUAAGGGGCAGCCCCGCGCUAUCAGCCACUCCAACACCUCCUCGCAUCCGCUGAACGCCGCACUGCUCCAGACAUCUCGUGACCAGGUCCAGCCUCGUUCAUGAAGCCACGAUAGCAGCUCAACAUUGCCACUCUCCGCUGCCAGGUCCAACAGGUCAGGUGCCUUGCCCUGGUCUACACCCAAUUCAUCCACCGUCCAGGCCACCACAGACAGCUGGCCCCCGUUCGCUGCGUACUUGGAUAGCAUCUGCGGAUAAAGGCGGCUGCAGCGGCUCUCGUGAAGGUAUCGCAGCACAGAUAGACGGCCCUGGUAAGCUGCACACAUGAUGGACUCUUCACGACCUUCACUUGGCCGCACGUUCUUUUCGACAACCAGGAAGCGCACCGCAGCCGUGUUUCCCUUAGCCAUGGCUCUGUCCCACGCGCAUGCGUCAACCGGGUAGCCGCGACUGCACAGCCACUUCAGGCGGUCCAGCGCACCGUGUUUGUCUUUAAUACUGACGGCACUUUUACAUGCGGCAGCUGUACGGGGGUAGCCCUCUUGCUCCAGCCAUUUGACCUUGGCCUCCCAAUCGGAAGUGAGGCUGCAGGCAGCGGCUGCCAGUACGGCACCCCUCUGCCCCUGGCUGAGCACCAGCGGCGGUGGCGGUGGCUUCCCCGCCGUGCCAACUGCUUGCUGUGUGGGGAGCCGUUGAUGGUGGUGCAGUUGCUGCAAGGCGGCUAGGUUCAAACCCUCUGCGGCCGAGGCCAAGAGAUCUGCGUAAUCGCUGCAUUGCUGUUGCUGUUGCUGUUGCUGUUGCUGUUGCUGUUGCUGUUGCUGUUGCUGGUGCUGGUGCUGCGACCGGUGCUGCUGCUGCGACCGGUGCUGCUGCUUCUGUGAGAGCUGCUCCAGCAGCCAGCACAUGAUAUCUUCGUGACCACCCACAGCGGCACUGCACACAGCCUCCAUGUACAGAGGGCCCCCCUCGGCCACCGUCCACUCACAAACAUGGCGAUGCCCGGCUUUUGCUGCUGCAGCCAGGGCAUUGCCCCAGGGGCAGUUGCGCCGCCUUAACAACUUGCACACGUGCAACUGGCCAGCGCCUGCAGCUGCUUCGAACAGCUCGUACGAGGGAUUGAGACCAAUAUUGUUCAGGGCAACCUCCAGGUUUUCGAUGCUGCCGGUGGCUGCGGUGAGGGCAAGGAGCUUGAUUCGCUGCGGCCUCGUGUACCCGCGAAAGGCUUCCGGGUUGUUCCAGCGCAGCUUGAAGGCGUAAGGUGGUGAUGGCGCCGACAACCUUACAGUUUUACAACUGGAAAAUUGCUGUGCUGUUCUUUUAUCUACCUGUCGAAGCGUAAGUGCUACAUCGUUGGGUGUUAAGAAGCCAGCGAUGCACUGAACAAUGUCCGGCAACCAAAUGCUUGGACAUGUGGCGCCAUCGCCAACUGUGUUGCUCGAGUCGAUUUGUGAAAUUUCUGCCAUUUUGUCAAACCUUUACGCGUUAAAAUUUGUUGAUACUAAUCGCGUUGGGGGCGGGCAUUGUGUGGGCGGCGGGCGAAAUGAUUUUAUUCCAGUCUUUCCCUGUCCAGACGGCUGUAAGGGAUUUGAGACACAGUCAUUCGUUCUGAACAAUUAUUCUGUAUAAUUGAAAAAACAACUUCCUUGCAACGGGUUCUCUAAGCUGUACGAAAGAGCUGUACAUUUUCUGCUCUACACAUGCACACGAUGAGCUCGCAGGCAUUCAACGUAUGGUUUCAAAGUCACCGAUGGCGACAUGGCAAUACGUAAUGCCACCGGCCUACCACCAUCGCCUUUUCGUGCAUGACUCAUAGACUGGAAACAGCCGUACCAGCCAGCAAACACGUUCCCGCUUUCCGCUUAUUAUGUAUGUGAUGAGGUUAGGUGGUGAAAUGUACAUUGUGAAAUGGCCAACUGAGCGCACGGAUCAGAUCAUGCAAGGUGCAACAAGCGAGCCGAUGAGCCCAAGCCCUCAGUGCUAGCUCGGCAUCAGGGCCCGCCUUGGUGGGGAAAAAAUAGUAGGGUGAUGCCCUUGUCCUAGCCGCGAAUGAAUUCCCCUUUCGCUGCUCCUUUUCUCUCAUAGAUUCUGAUCACUAUUGGCUGAUCGCAUACGUCUCCCCUUCCUUUUAGCGGAAUAGCGGUGCGGUGCAGGAGGGCGUCUCUGGUUGCGUAGUGGUUUGUUCGGAACCCGGCUCAAAUGCAAACGAGUGUCUAAAAUGUCAAGAAAUGGAAUAGCGUCCAGCCGUACCGCUUGGCAUGCUCGUCCAUGUACAAGCACCAAACCCAGCCCACAUAUGCAACCAAUCCAAUGCCUGAAAUUCCAGUCCAUGCGAGCCAGCGCACACACGCACGCCAAGCCCCAUCUUCACACUGCUCCCCUUUUUAAGCAGCCCCUCGCACAAAUGUGUCCGGUCGUACUGUGCCGAAUAAAACAUCCGUACAUAUCGCCCCAAAAGUCAGGAGCGAAUUUUACCGCGCAGAUGCGCGCGUGCGAUUCUCAAAAUGUGCCUGUAAAAGUGUAUGUAAUUUUUUCGGCGAAAGGCCGCUCAUCAGGGCAUGUUGGCCGCAGUCACAAGCGGUAUGCAUCUCGGACUUUUGGCUGGCUGCUUAGCCUGAGCUGAAUAAGAUAUGAAAAGAUAUGAAAGCAUACAACGUAGCUUGCAAGGCUGGGCGCUUGAAACGGCUGCGGGAAGAGGAAGCGUUCAGGACAUCAGACAGCAAGAAGCACAACACCUGCUGGUAAACCACCGAGAAUAUCUUCAGUUGGGGACGUGUAGCUUUAGCCGGCGGGGUCGACCAUCAUACGCUUUGCGCAUCGCCAAUCCUGCUCUGGCCCAAAAGAUGGAGGCCCUCUACAUCGCGCAGUUCAAGGCCCGGGGGCCGGGCGGCUACAAUGUGCUGCGCGGGCCGCCUUCCGCCAGCCCGGCCUUCUACGCGAUGAGCCGGCAACGUGCCGGCAGCGCCCACACGCCCACCGCCGUGACAGUCCAAGACGAUGACGCCCCAGCCACGCUCGCCUAGCCCACACAGCAACUGGACACCUAACGCUUGACGGACAGGGUCCCACGAUUUCGGCGCUAGGCUUCUGGACAUUGGGCAGUGCUGUUGUAUUUGGGCACGAUCACACUUGGGGUUUCAUUCACGGUGCAUACAUGUCGGACUUAACUCGUGUGUGAACGGCGGCUGCGGCCCAUACGGACAGCAGCGCUUGGGAUGGUCUAUUGCGUGAGCGUUGGGGGAAAGGGGGUGGCCCGCUGCACUCCUUUCUAUGUCCGCUCGUCGCGUGCUCGGGGGCAAGUUGGUAGCGUGCGAGUUCACCCAUCAUGUUGCCUGUUCUGGCAUGGCCAUCCACGCGCAACAGGAAACUUGAACCUAGGCCUUAUUCUUCGUUCCUACAUCAUAGCGAAGGACCGACGCAACGUGGCCUGUGCACGCGCUGUUCCUGUGGUGCUGUUCUUGUUCUUCUGGUUGUUGUUCCUGUUGUUCUUGCAUACACGCGUGCGACGACAUGACUGCAUGUACAUUGUGCCGUGCGCCAAGUGCCCUGGAACCAGCUUCUACUCAUCUACAUUCCAUUAUGCCACUGCACUUGCCUCUCCAGCCUGGCCCCAUUCUGCAACUUACUAUCCAACACCAUACGGGCUUUAGAAACGCGGGCAGCUGCUUCACAAGGACCCCCCUAUUUACCUUGGCCAGCACAACACGGGCUCCAAAAAUCCUCAUAACACGGGCUUCUGCAUUGCACGCGGUAGGCGCUGUCAUAAAAUUCCUUAGGUCAGGGUUACUAUAAAGUACAUUCCCGCACACAUUUGCAUCAUGCCGUACCGACAAACGCGAAGGGGCAAAAACCUCCAAACGCAAGCAUGCAAGUCAAAGUUUCAUACGUGGCCAACACGAAGCCGCCCGCCUCGCUCCGCAACGUGAAGGGAACUCUCCAUCCUAAAGUCCUGUGAUCUUCAAAACCAACAAAAAAAACCUAAAACCCCAAUGCAGCCCCUCGCCUUGGAAGUAGGCUGCCUCCAAACGUUUAUCAAACCCUGUCUGAAAUUCGAGCAUCGACACAUCAAUGUAAUGAGCGUGCUGAUCUGGGCUUGAUACGAGGCCAUGGUGAUCCGAUUGGAGCGUGCAAAUGUUAUGUAUAUAAUGCAUCACCACCCACCCAAUUUCCAUCAAUUCAACCACCGACCCAACAGCGGCAGCAGCAGCAUAUGUCUGUUUUUAUGCGCUUCCUAAGCCAUGAGCGGCAAACGGAGAGAGAGCAUUUGGCUCUAUACCGGACCAACCACAGACCAAGAGGGACGAGUCUGUCCGCUUCAUUUCCAAAGCAAGAGGAGAACCGCUUGGGCGGUCGGCAGCGACUAUGCCGUAUAGCUAACCUUGUAGUAGCCUAACCGCAUCUCCCAGUCCUCGCUUCACCAUUAUUAAAAAACGUCCUCAAGUACAACAAACCGUUUUUGUACGGAAUGAAAAACGGUUUCGCUGUCGCAAAGAGCGUCAAAAAUAUUGCUCACAGCGGUUUCUUCUUUUGGGACUUGCUGCCACCUGGCUUUCGAGCACAGCACGUCCAAUCGCCAGUAAGAUGCGUUCUAGGAAGUAACCACCUGGGAUGGGUGGCAGACGAAGCCCAGGACCGUCAUCACCAUAUCUUUCAUCUAUUCAUCCCCGUCCUUGUCCUCCUCUUCCUCCUCAACAACCUCCUCCUCCAGCUGCUCUUGCCCGUCGGCGCCAGUCUCCUCAUCUCCAUUCACUUCCAUAAUCUCCUCCUCGUCAUCAUCGUCAUCAUCGUCGUCGUCAUCCAUAACCUCCUCGUCAUCCCCACCUUCCUCAGCUCCUCCGUCAUCCCCGUCAUCCGCCGCCUCGCCGCCGCCGGCCUCCGGUUUAUAGCUCGCAAGCGCCGCGACCUACACAUCAACACCGGGGCGUGUCCUUUUCAUACGCGCCAUACAUACAGGUUGUAGAACCUCAACGUACCGCAUGCAUCAAUCGACUCACAUUCCCCUGCGCAUGCAUAAUGUCGUAAUACACACAUAGACACACAGUAGAUAGGAGUUCUACGGAAAGGUCGGGAUUCUGUUGGGGCACACCACCCCUGUGCAGUGCACGGCCAGCUGGCCCGCUGGCUCUACUCUUCGGGAGUCUGGAGCCCAAUGUAACACACAGACACACAGUAGAUAGGUAUAAUGCCAUGCAGUCUUUUCCCCCCCACCCACCCUCUACCCACAUACAGCCCAUAAGCGGUUGCUUCUCCUUUCCACAUCAUCGUCGAAAAGGUGUAUAGCAUCACGCACUUCUUGGGAACACACAUGGACAUGGACAAAUGGCAUCCAGAAAGGAUUUCUGUCACAGGGAAGUAGCUGCCAGCUAUCAUUCCGGACAACAGCGCGACGACGAAUAACCCGUGAGUAGUAUACAUGCGACACGUCAAGACAGGCAGACAGACAGACUCAGACACAAACACCAUCUACGGAAAUGCACUCUCCUUCCACACCGCAAACGUCUUGAACGUCUGAAAGUAGUUUUAUUGUCUCCUGCAGAUUAUGCGUCCUCAACCUGACUCACUCACGACCAGACCCAUUAGACACUCCAUUACCUGCUUGUUGAGCGCUGUCAACGCCCAGAUCCGGUCCCUCAACAGCGCCACCACGGCCUUGCGCCGCCCCAGCAGUCGCAGAAUGGCAUGCUCCACCGCAAGACAGGAAAGAGUGUCCCCCGCCACCUUCUCAUGGAGAAUCAGUAGCAUCCCCACCGCCAUGUCCAGACCCUGCGCCGCUUCCUCACUACCGGGCUUCGCAAAUUGCAUGAGCGAGGCGCAAAGCGCCAGUCGCAGGUUGGCACCGAGAGAUCUGUUGAUUGGGUAUUUAAGAGUUAGGGGAGAAGGGAAGGAGGGAGGAGGAGUUGAAAGUUAAAGACAAAGCAUCGGAAAGGUGGAAAAGCAGUCAAGUUUAAAGAAAAAGGGCUAAAAGAGACCUAUGAUGGACCGGGGAGGAUGUGCAGGUGGUGGUGAACGGGCGGCGUACAGGAGGAUGUGCAGGAGGAGGCACUCGGUUUAAUAGAGGAAGCGACAGCAUUGGUUUUUGGAAUGGAGGCGUAAGGGUGGGUGAGGGUAAGGGUAAGGGUAGGGUAAGGGCGGGAAGGAGGAAACCGCCACUUGAAUGGUGGCGGUCAUGUCCGAAGGGAAGAAGAAAUUGUGUGAGGUGUGGAUAAUGUUAGGCAUUUACUGAUGCUUAUCAGCGUUGCAACAGAUAGGUUAAUCCAUAGUGCUUUGACAAGCCCCUGUGACAGUUUCCGGCGAUACCGGGUCUUUAUCGCUGGCAAAAUCGUUCUCCCUGCGCGCGCGCGCGCUCAACCCACCGAAAGUCUGAAUCCAAUGGGCUCUCUGUACCGUCAGGGGGUGCUCCUGGGCCCUCCACGUCCAAUAAAAGCUGGGAAACCACUGCAGCGACGAGGUUCCGGGUUUAAACAUGGCAUGACAGGAUCUGCUUAGGCACAGCGCAGCACAGUGUAGGCAAGUUUGCUUGCAAUUGCCUAAAGGCUUAGAUGGAGGAUGCUAGAAUGGGUGAUUAAAACACAAAGCGGUAACUUACGUCUCCUAUUGACAGGCGCUAAACCCACCCAUGAGCUCAGGAAAGCCAGGUGGCGCCUUGGCGGAUAUCAUGCGUGUGGCAGCUUCCUCCAUUGCAGCGAUGAGUGUUGAGAGCCGCUCAGUGUCGUUGAAUUUGUGAAGGUCCGUCAAGGUUUUCAGCACGGGAGUCUCAAUUAGACCUAGAAAGCCGCAGUCUGCGAGACCUUCGCACGCAUCCGCAACUAUCGCAGCUAAUUCCUCACGCUUCGCAGCGGCCAUGGUUGAUCUGGUCGGCUUCACUAAUUCGGUUUGAAAGUUCCGGGAUACGCCCAAGUAUUUUCACAGAGAGAGGAUUUUCACAGCAACUUUAGCCUGGUGUUGCAAGUUGUAACGAUGUGAAGGCGAUGACAAUUGGAAGGCUUUUCUAUUCGCGCCCAGUUGCCGUACUCAUUGUUUCCCGAGGUACAGGCUAUGACGCGCAGAAACAUCGUGGUGUAAUCUAAUAUAGUUGAACACAGUAUCCUGCAAGGAACUGGUGGUGAUCAGGCGGCAAGUGUGUGCAAGGAAGCCAUGCAAGUACUCCAAAAUGAAAAGGCAUUCUCAGCGCGCAAGAACGCGCGAUGCAACGCUAUAUACAAUCGGCGUUUUGUUGCAAUUAGGGCGGCUGUCGGGGCUGCACCGCCAUCCUCUGCCGCAUAUACGACCAAGCACACACUGCCGGAUGGAAAGAAGCUGGAGUUGCUGGUUCAAAAAGCCGUGGUGGGUGACAAAACGCUUCGCAAUACUCUCUGUAAUGCUUUACGAAAAGGUUAUCCACCCGGGCAAUUAGUGCCCAAGGCUACAGCCCACAUCCCCAUGACACGUUAAUAGUAUGGCAUAUUGCUGCACACAGUUCCUGAUCCCCCAUUCGCAGCCAAGCACAAGAUGUUACGGGAAUAAGAGAAAAGCAUAGCAGAGUUUUUGAGGGGUUAACUAGAGCUACACGCAAAUCACCAUUCCUCAACAACUCACCUGCAGCGCCUCUAUACACGAACCCCCCCUCCUCCCGUCCUGCCCUUCUUUGUCACUCUCGCCACCAUUUCUACCCUUUAACCCGCAAACCUCCCUCCACUGCCCUUGCAACCCACCAGCAUUGCGGUACUUUCUUCCAAAGCUCCCACCCUCAAAAUCUGUACGAUCCCCCCCCUUCCAUUCCCCCUACCCCCACAACUCGUUGGUGCUUUGGACAAUGGUAUUGGCAGUUGACUCUUUGCUUCGUUUCAUCUUGUCCUGCUGCACGACUAAAACAAAGAUAAAAUGAAAUAUAAAUCUUUCCAAAUCUAAAAUAAUAAGAUCCUGCAUCACGUGAUGUCCCCACUCCCAACUACCUGAUGCCGUUACCGUUACCGUUACCGUUGCACCUCACCAGAUCAGUUUUCCUCGUCUCCUUCCUCACCCUCCAGCUCGUGCGCCUUCCUACCCCAACUGACGACAUUUCUUCCAUCAAGUCGGCACACAUCUUCUGUCCAUCUUCUUUCUUUUCUUUCCUUUGAAGAUGCGUUCUGCACCCUUAAAACCGCCUUUUUAACCCCACCCUACCUCACCUUUACCUCCGCCUUAUACCCGUCCCCCCAAACACACAAACAUGCAUACACGCAGGUCAGAUCUUCUUCCUCCUCCCCAUCUCGCCAGCCCCCGCUGUUGUUCGUACACGGCUCCUACCAUGCAGCUUGGUGCUGGCAGGUGAGGUUGGGGAGAGGUGAUGGAGGGGGCAGCAGUCAACCAGGGGCAUGAGGACUUGAAGGGGAGCUGGUAAGAUAUGAAUGUACGACGAGUUCAAAUGGUGACGUGCCCCCAGGAGAAUUUCAUGCCGUACUUCUCGACCCGCGGGUACGACACCUACGCCGUGAGCCUUCGCGCACAAGGCGGCAGCGAUCCAGCGCCGCCCGGUCAGUCCGUGGCGGGAACCCUGGACAUCCACGCCGCCGACCUGGCGUCGCUGGUUCCUGUCGUACAGCAGGACUCGGCGGCGUCUGGAGGUGGCGGCAGGGCGCCCGUCGUCAUCGGACACUCUUUCGGCGGCCUGAUUGUCCAAAAGUAAGAGCUGCUGUUGCUGCUGGUGGUGGUUUCUUCGGAGUUGAUGAUUUCUUGAUAGUGGCGUGAUGCGCGUACAACUCCCCUACCGACAUACCUACCGACAUACCUGCUCACCCUCGUUAUUCCCGCUUCCCAUCGUCGCGUUCGCCACUUGCGGUACCAAAUCGCUGCACCUUUUUAGCACGCUUGCAAGACGUCUUCCAGGGUUCGAAGCGCAUGAGUACAUGAAUACACCCCAACGACAACUCCGGGUGCUUGUGCCCCCAUCCUGGAGGGGCGUGUGGGCGCUCCCAUGGGCCUCUCCCAACGUCCUGCACAGGUGCUGCAGGACGGCUGCAGCAGCAGCAGCCGCCACCGCCACCGCCACGGCCCUCCGGAUGUCCCCUCUGCCGGCCCCCCUCUGGAACCCCUCAAACCACGAUCCCUCCUGCAGCCGCGAUGUGUUAAAAACUGAAUACAAAGUACUGAACAACCAGGACAAUAUAUUUAUAUAUAAUCCUUUUUUAAUAAAAAAUCUUUAAAAUGAAGAUAUAUAAUAUGUUUUUUAUUCCUGACAAACCAAAAGCAAACUCUGUCUCCCUUUUUGCUCCCUUACCAAGCUUUCCUCUCCACCCACCCUUUUACCCGGCUUUGGCUGUUGCAGGUACAUCCUGGGUAGCGCCGCGACGUCCUCCCACUGCUCCUCCGCCUCCCCCCCGCCGCCGCCGCCGCCGCCUGGGCCUACCCCCGGGUCGUUCCCGCCCCUCUCCGGAGCGGCCUUCCUGUGCAGCGUGCCCCCCUCCGGCAACAAGCAGAUGGUGAUGCGCUUCCUGAGGAGAGACCCCAUCAUGUCGCUGAAGCUCACCUGGUGGGGUUGACUGCUGCGGCUGCUGCUUGUGGUGGGGGGGGGUGGGGGUAGGAGGAGUUGUUGUUGUUGUUGCGGAAGUGGUGUUGGUAGUGGUAGCUGUGGUAUAACAAGAGGCGAAAAAGACUGAGGAGGUGGAGGAGGUGGAGAGAAAGGAGGAGGAGGGGUCAACUGGCGGCUGACGUCCAAAGUACCGGAAUGCUAGAGGGAGGGUGGGAGGAGGAGGAGGAGGAAGGUGGGAUGUGGGAAAAACACGUCGCAACAGCAACAACAGAGGUUGUUGGAACUCCAUGGAAAUUGGCUUUGUGGAGCAGAUUACAGUUGGUGGAAGUUUUAGAGGAGGUAAAAUGUAGAGGGUUUGAGUUUGAUACCGAUCUCAUCGGCCUCUCUCGCCUGCGAAUCCCCCGUUUCCUCCUCCCACUUCCCUUCUGCGAUCCGCUCCUUUCUCCCCCCCCUCCCCAAACCCCCCGCCCCCAGGGGUUUUAUCGCCCGUACCUUCGCCAGCAGUCGUACUGCCUGCCGAGAGCUGUUCUUCUCCAGCGACCUCCCGGAAGACAAACUGGACAGGUGGGAGGCAAUGUGUAUGUUUGUAUGUAUGUGUUACAUAUCGAUCGGGGCCUGACGCUGGCCAGGGGCACCUGACCGUAUACCCCCAAACGGGAACGGUUACCGCCGAAGCACUUUCCUCCUUGUGGGGUAUGUAUGCAUGUAUACAUAUGUGUGUAUGUAUGUAUGUAUGUAUGUAUGUAUGUAUGUAUGUAUGUAUGUAUGUAUGUAUGUAUGUAUGUAUGUAUGUAUGUAUGUAUACUGAGUGUUAUUACUAGAAUGAGGAUGAUGGAGGAUAGAUGGGAGGGUCUUAUCCCACAGGAAAUGGAAAAACACUCCGUGUGCCAUUCUUCUCUAAGACCCGUCGGGGCCAUGCAUCCCGUUGAUUCUCUGAUGCAUACGGCACCUUGCGUGUACGGCAUCUAACGGCACCCCGCAUGCACGUGUCGCAGGUACCAGAAGUUCCUCGCGGCAGCCAGCCCCACUCGCCUCCUCGACCUCAGGUGCGUGCAUCUGCUGAAUACCCCCCUCCCCUCCCCCCNCCCCCCCGUACCUCCUGGUACACUCUUGCCCUGGCAGCAGCUUCACUCGUUUGUGGUUCGUCUUUGCCCCCGUACCUCCCCCCUAAGCGCCCCUGUGUACUCUGGACAUCAGUCAGCAGCCGGAAUCCCUCCUCGCUUUCCCGCCGCAUACAGUUUCCCUCUCCCCUCCCCUUCCUUCCCCCCUCGUCAUUUUGGUCACAUCGUUCGCCUGCUAGACAUACAUCCCGCUUGGCGACCUUCUCACAUGUGUGUAUGUAUGUAUGUAUGUUUGGGGGGGCCCGGGCCGAUACUCAUACGGUGAGUGGGCAUCGCCCGCCGGGGGGCGCUGCGUGUAUCUGUGUGUUUUGUGUCGUACAUGUGCCACAUGCGGGUCUCGGGGGUGAUUCCGGAAGUGAAAUAGCUUCCUGGCGGCCCUCAGCUGCCGCCGCCGGAUUCUUAACCUGCCGCCAUUGCCGCCGCCGCCGCCGCCGCCGUCACUGCCGCCGCGUGUUCAGGGACAUGAACGCGCAGGUGCCGCUGCCACCACCGUCCCCUCACGCACCCCCCGCCUUUGUGUUGGGAGCCGCGCAGGACACCGUUGUGGAUCCUGAGGCCGUACAGGCAAGCGGUUGGGCGCGGGGAGGAGUGAGGGUUAUAGAGACCUGCUGCAAGGCCCCCCCACACACACACUACUUUGCUACUCUCUUGCUCUGGCAGCAGCUUCAAUCGUGUGUGGUUCGUCUCCCCCCCACACACACACACAGCCCCCGCGCACUGUGCACUGCCCCCCCACACGACGACAUAAACGCGCAAACGCGCUUAAGCUGACACAUACAUGCAUACAUGCAUAUGCGUGCGUGCAAGCCCUUCAGUCAGGAAAAUGGUGGGGAAUGUCUACAGCCAAUACGUAUACACAUAUACAUAUAUGCACAUCAAUUAUGAACCAAUAUACUACUAUAGUUUGAAGGCGCUAUCCACUACUACACCAUUACCUAUCUACAUCCGCAUCAUCAUGGCGCAGUCUGCGUAGAGGCCAUCAACACUAUCCAAAAGAUGUACGACCCCUUCCCCGUACACAACCCUGGCCUGUGUGUGACCGCGUCCCUUUUUCCAAUUCAUGAGUAUGACUGUUUUGGUACGGUUUCCUUACCCCGUACGAAUAAAGGAGCUGGCGUCGUACUACGGUACCCAGGGCGUCCUGCUGCAGGACCUAGCGCACGACUGCAUGCUGGUGGGUGCCGGGCUGUGCGUGUGUCUGUAUGUAUAUGUAUAUGUGUGUAUGAAAUGAAGGCGCGAGGAGGGGAUAGAACACGCCAACAUUGCCGAGAAACUGCGGAGGAUUGGGGCUUUGGAGGGGGGGGAGACGGAAGAGGUGGUGGUUUCGGAGGGGACUUGGAAGUGGCGUGUGUGGAGUUCGUUAUUGAAUCGCAUCGAUAAGGAGAAGGUACCGCGGUGAUGCAUAAUGAUAAUGCUCAUAAUGAUAAAUGUUGGUAUCGUGUUGAAUUUUUGAAAAGUAUGACGAUUUUUUUCUGUACGGUGUAAAAGCUCACACAGCAUAAUACGAACUGACUGGCUACAGGACGAUGUAUGGGUUUUAGGGUUUACUGGUUGCCUGUUGAGGACACCGUCCGUCCGCGUUUCGCCCUUACUUCUUGCCUUCUGUUUCCCAAACGCUAUCCGGGCAUACUUAUAAAUGCCGCUAUAGCUGCUGGUGCUGCUGGUGGCGAAAAAAACGUUUUUUAAAUAACCCGUUUUGUUAUUUUGUUGCGUUUUCGCCCUCGCGUGUUGCCUGAUCAGGACACCCGGUGGCAGCGAGCGGCUGCAGAGCUGGAGACCUGGCUGGCUGCGCUGUAAGGUAAGGAAGUGGCCUCAGAGGGGAGGUGAGGAAAAGGGGGGCAUGUAAGAUGGGGAGGGUGAGGGGAACAAGGGUGAGGGGGCAUGAGGAGGAGGAGGAGGCAGCCCCGCAGCCCCAUGCGCGAGGAGUGGACAGGGGGGUUGGAAGGAGGAGGGCCUUGGUGGGGCGGGCUGGAGCUCUGGGACGCUGGCCUGUGGCUGCUGCAAACACUAAUCCUUUGAGCUUUGAGCUUUUUUUGUCCUUUGUGGCCUUUGUAUGAGCUAUAAGCUUUCUGUGCCUUGCCUCCUACCCGUACACCCCGAGUCCCUUCUGUUUCCCCUUCAGCUCCUUUCCUGAUUCGUUUCUUCCUCGGCUCGGAUUGUUUGUUGGGCUUGUUCCACCAGAUUGAGCGCGUUGUGUGCGGAGGCGAGUUGGCGGCGCACUGCCCCAGCGGGGGGGGGAGGGAGAGAAUGGUGUGUUGUUGAAGCCACGACCCGGCGCUGGAGAACAUGAACUUUACGGGUUUAAGAUGGAGCAGCAGGUGGAACUGCACGUGUGUCUUGUUUUGGCAAUCAGCCUGGCUGGUUAAAGGGCCGUGGAAAAAGCAGCAGGAUUUUGGAUUUCGCUUAUAUUGUACGUUCCUACAUUGGAAGAGCAGAGGAGUAUUUCAGAUCUCAAGUCGCCGCCAUUUUAUUUUUGUUAUUUAUUGGACUUCGCGAUACUUACCUUCCGAAAGGGAAGCCGCAAGCCCUUUUCAUGGCAAAAACGGGAAGUUUUGACGAUUGAGACCCAGAAAAAAAACCAAGCCACGCGAGAUUUGUUUUGUAGAUGUGAUGUCAGAAUGGCGGGUGAAGGCCUUGACCGGUUGGUUUUCAUUUUGCUCUGCGUCACCAUUCGGUACUUUGCUGAACAACAAGAGGGUUUCCCACACUCGUCAACAAGUAUUAAGGAUUAGCACAGGGUUUUCCUGCUGUGGUGAGUACCAUCGCCCGUGUAUCGGGCGGCUGUGCUGAAAGAGUUCCCCAUCACGAGAGUUCCCCAGCAACCCCGCGGUAUACAUCUGUGCAGCACAGCAGCAGCAGCAGCAGCAGGUUCCUUAGAUCACACCCUCAUCCCAUCCCUCCCUCCCUCCUGCCAACCUGGAACUUGUUUAAUUAACCAUUCGUUCACCUGGCCCGUCCCGCCACCAUCGUACAGUCCUUUUGUCGGUAUGCCGCAGCGAGAAGAUGUACAUCCACACGCGCCGGAUACGGUCAUACUUCUGUACGACAAGUACAGUGUUUUGUUUUCCCUUCCCUUCCCAGUUGCUUCCAACCGACCAACUUGUCAAUGUUUUUUCACUUCCUGCAACUUCUCCCGCAUUACCUGGAUUUACAUGUUUCCAAAAUUUCCCCCAAAUUCCAUCCAUCCGAAGCUCUGGAAGCUUCCGGCUUAAAGCAUUCCUUUCCUCCACCCAACCCAGCAAACAGCAACCCUUCUCCACACAGCUCGACAUCAUAUUUUUCCGGCAUUUGUUGUGGCCUGGCGACAGACACACACACACACGCACACAUACAUGCACAUAUACACGCACACACAUACAUGCAACACGAUGUGCGUGUGCGCAUGUGUGUAUAUUGCCGUGACUGUACGGCCGGUACGGUCAACAAGUGACUGUACGGCCGGUACGGUCAACAAGUGACCCGCCGUGUGUAUGUUGUACAUCCUCACGCAACGUCCUAAACCCUCGUCAGCAUCACCCGAUACACGGGUAAUCCCUGUUGCGCCACAUAAUGCUCUCUCUCCGUGGGUGUACCCACGGGAUUGUCCACAAGCCAGCCACCCUUGGCCCACUCCGAAACCAUAUUGAGAAUGUCCUCUUCGUCGGAAUCGCCGUCCACCCCCAUUAUGUCGUCAUCGCCGCUUACGCUGCCUUCCUCUCCAGCGGCCAUGUCGCCGUCGUCCGUAUCCGCAAGUACGACACCCACCUCAGUUUGCCGUACUCCCGCCGCUGGCGCCGUUUGGUCCCCUGCGGCGGCAGCGGCGGCGGCGCAGCCGUGGGUGUCGACAUCCCGUGCUUGCGUCGCUGCUGCCCGAUGAACGGUCGCCGGGGCCGUUGUCGACUUCGUCGCUUCACCGCCAUCACGGAUUGCCUGGCCCUGUAGCUGCUGCUGCUGCUGUUGUUGUUGUUGUUGUUGUUCCGUGCCGCGUCGGCUGAAGAACACGGCACACUGGCUGUGUUGGGGAGCCAGCGUGAAGUCCUCCCCCGCGUACUUUUCAAACAUGUUCACCAUGGCCACACAUGCCUCCUCGACAUCGGACUGCAGCAGCAGCCUACCUGAGGUCCGCAAGAGGUGGCGUGGUGAUGUGUCAGCGCGCACAUGCAUACGGUGGGUUUGGGGGGAAGAGCAGGGCCCCAAAACCAGGUGUGUCUCAAGAGCCAUUACCCGGGACGGCGCUCGCGGUUAAGGGGAUGGGUUGCAGGAAGCGGGUGGAGAGGCGAAAUGGAGGCGAAAAAGAAAUCUCGAAGAGGGCAAAACAGAGGGCAAGAAAAAGGAUUAAAGCCUGCACGCUCAUCGCUGACCGCGGGUGGAGCGGUCUGGGUUGGGGCCUGAGAUCCAGACCUGCUAAGGUCGGUGGGGAGGCUUGCCUCCCGUCCUGGAGAACAUCCCGCCCUCUACCCCACCCAUCCCACUCCCAAGUCCCCAACCUGGCUCCCACCUCCCCGCGGCAUCAAGUCCCGGAGCGCGGUCACUAACUGGGGUUGAACCACCCGCCGCUUGUGGUGGCGCCGCUUGAAGUGUCUGGGGAGGGAUGAGGGGGGAAAGACGAACCACGAACGAGUGAAGCUGCUGCCAAGGAAAGAGUGAUGAGGGGGAUGAGGGGGAGGGGAAGGCAGGGAAGGGGAAGGUCAGGCGGAGUUGGGCUUGAGAUUAGCUGUGGGGGCUGCCUCACAGCGACACAUGCACGCCACGAACGAGCGUCUAUUUCUGUCACUCUCUCUCUCACAAACUCUCUCUUCCCCCCUUCGUGGAAAGGUCUAACAUGGAGCCCAUUUGAACUGCCCUCUUGUCAUCACAGCGUCACAGGAGCCCCAAGUCAAGUAAGCGACCCACGGGUCAUCCUAACCCUCCUCCCAGCCCCCACACAGGUGACCCACGGGUCAGGGAACUGAAUGAACACGUCGGUGAUGGGUCCGGGGUAGCUGCCCAGCAGUGUCGUCAGACUGACGGUGGCGUUGCUGAACAGGUAAUGCACUCGACCUUGGAGUCCGAGUCGACUGACCCACUCGUUGGAUCGGUCCACGAGCUGUGGUGGCGGUGUGGGCGGUGUGGGCAAAAACAAGGGCGGAAGAGAAAAUAUCUUCAGCUGCAAAGUGCAGAAAGCAAUAACAAAAACUGCCAAGAUAAACAUAAACAGGAGAGGGGGUAAGAGGCUAUUGUAAAGACAUUGAUAGGAGAGAUGAAAUGGGGGCAAACACGGCCGAUAAGGCGGCACGGCAUAAUUAUAGUCACGGCGGUGUAUAGGAGGGGAAAAGUGAGGGGAGGCAAGUGUGAGUGUGGGAAGUGCAAGGGAAAAUGGCAAAUUGACAUUGUGUACUGUAUGAGGCCAUAUUUUCCGAUUGUAUGCGCGAUCCCCACAGCACACGCACCGUACGGCGGAUCUCCAGACCCAGGUAGUUGACUUGUUGGUCAGGGUUAUUGCGCUGUAGCAGCAACAGAAAACGGCCGUAGCCGCUGCCGAUGUCCAGCGCCAGGGGUAAGGAGGGGUCGGAGAAUACGGCACUCCAGUCGGGUGCCGCCGUCGGUUGCUGAAACUCACGACGUAGGGGGUUUACGUGUUGCCGUACGCGCGUCUUGCCGAUCUGCAUCGACAUCGGCGUCCAAGCAACCGCUGUUGCUUUGGAAAGAGAACCUCAAGGUGAGGCCCUCAAAGUGAGGACCUCCGGGGUUUCGGGGUUACACGUAAUAAAGAAAUGCCGAUCGCAAAUGGUCGCAAAGGCGUGGAACCCGCGGAUUGCUUGCGCUAUCUGUACGACACACGCACACACAUUUCCGUUGUUUCAGUUGUUGUUGUCCUCCAGGGGGAGGGGGCAGGAAUCCGAAGAAGGGAGAGUCGAACAGUACACGCACACGGAAUCAUUUUGGCUGUCAGAUGUUUUUUCGAGGGGGGGAGGACGAGGGAGAAAUCUAAUUGGCCCAGAUCUGGAUAGGUAGAGGGACCAAGACUUGUGUGACCCAGAUCAGUUCUCAAGACGGUAAUUGAGGUGUUGGGUUUGUACUGUUUGAAGCUUCCUGCCGUGUCUGCUGUCUGCGGCGGCGGCGUGUGACUAAACGCCGUAGCCAGACGGCAAGACGAACUUCGUUUGCGACCUGCUUCCUUGAAGGAGCUUUCGAACGCUGUACAGCAGAAGUUGUUAGGGCUUGUAAACCCGGAAAUCACAGGGUGCCUGGUCCGGCCCGCUGCGCACUUUUCACAGACUCCUGCUCAGCGGCUGAUGCAGUCUUGCUCAGGCAGGUCUUUUGCCGCGGACGAAAAUGGGACGGUUCGCCCAAUCUUACCCCAUCCCACAGCUCCAUCAAAUCUAGUUCGCGAAAGGGCGAUUCGCGACUGUCCGCGGGCUUCACCGUCAUCCAUGUUGGACGUGCAGGUGCAGCGCUGUGUACGACGACACCCUGCAAGCCCACGCUCCCCAAGUUAUUCAUCGAGGAGCGCCUAGUUGUAAUUAAUAUCAGUUAUAACUUUUCAUCCUUUCUGUGCUUAAUAAGCUCGCGUUGAAAAUGACGCACCAAUCUUCCAGCCCGGUCCAUCGCGCCGCCGACAAGGCGACACACAUAGCUACCAGUUUGCUUCCUGGAAAGGCUAACAAUGUGGGGUUUGAAGGCUUCCAUGUAAAUUGGGUGAUGGGCCAUGGUCUGCACGGCGGUUGAUUAAUGCGUCCUUCCAAGCUUGACUUUAAUCUCUACAUCUGUACUAGGACUUCAUACAUGAGGGCAAGCAUUGGCAACCGUUUGGUUCACAAAUUGAGCUGCAAGGAUGCAGCCCGUCUCCCUCCACAUUCCUCUGAAGUCACGGCAACGGUCUGUACAACACCUCGGGAGCAUAUAGCUAAAAAUCUCGCCAGCGCAAUCAGGAUCAAAUAGAAGGACCCACAUAUUUUUAUGUCAAGCUGCUGAAACUUUAUUUAGUUGGUGCAACGAACUCGAGGCUUAGCACUAAAAAUCCAAACGCCCUCCCUAACCGCUCGCAGUCUAGCAGUUCAUUAAGCUACUUACACGACUGGAAAGAUGUUGGAAGCAUUGUUUGGAAAAAAGAAGACCCCCGCAGGUAGCUGUCGCAAGAGAGCUAGCGGAACGUGGCUUCCUUGUGCUGCUUUAAAGAAGGUUACGCUCUCGCCUGCUGACCUCUCAACAUUCAAUUUUUUUGCGUCGUAGAGAUGCUUAGGGAGAACAAGCGGCAGCUUGAUAAAGCCAUCCGGGAGCUCGACCGCGAGCGAAUGGGCUUACAACAGCAGGAAAAGAAAACUAUCAUGGAGAUUAAAAAAAUGGCCAAAGAAGGGCAGAUGGUAAGCCCUGGGUACGAGGAGUACACCGGCCCGAUGGGGCUUACUUCUAUGUACGACCGUGUACGGGAUGCAUGCCGCAUUUGCCUUUCCAGCACCCGCGUGACGCAGCAGGAAUGGUGGAUUGAGGCUAAGGUCAACGCGUCAAAAGCUGCCGCGCACGCAACGGGACGGGGACUGUUUUUGUAACCCCUCGCCUCAGCACGCUCAGCCAAAAACGCGCUACCCAUACUCACAAACUGCCUCUCCUGCAAUGGCGCAAUGCAAAGACGUGUGGUUUCAAUUUCAACGUCAUGCCACAUAUAUAGGACGCGAUGUAAUGUCAAGCUUUGCCCGACCACCAGCCCCCAGCAGGCCUCCGUGUCCAGCCCAUGUCCCCCAACCUGGAGUUGGUCCUCAACCCAACGUUGCCCUCCUCACCUUCCCUGCCUGCCCCGCCGCCCUGCCCACUCCCUCACCUCAUCAGGACGCGGUCAAAGUGAUGGCGAAGUCCCUGGUUCGAAACCGCCACGCGGUGACCAAGAUGUACGGUCUCAAAUCGGAGCUGCAAGCGGUAUCGCUGCGACUAGCGGUAAGAUGGCAAAAGCCACCAGCUAACGCAUCAACAGCAAGAGCACCAGAAAAUCGGGGCCAGUAACAGCCGGAGCAGUAAGAUGAACCAGCAUUUGGAAAUUUUUUAGGGAAUAGGAACAAAUUCAGGUGGCACGGUGGCCUCUCUCCAUCCUCCAUGAAGAGCCGUGGUGUAACUACCUGUGGGGAUCUCUCGGGUCGAAUGGAACCCUCUUCACAGCGCCACCUGCUGGGCACCACCUCCCCCCACACGCCUUGCUCGGAUGUUGUCUCUGGGUCCCUCCCCGGCCCUCCCCCGCCCUCACCCACGGGUCCUUGUCUUAUCCUACAGCUAUCCGUUUACCUCUUCAGUACGUACUUCAGUCGUCAGUCGGGGUUCGUCUUACCCCCCUCCCCCCCCGCUUCCCUUUCUCGUUAUCGACUUUUCUUAUGGCUUCUAUGGCGUCUUUUUUAUUAUGGUCUAUGGCCUCUUUGUCAUCAUGGUCUAUAGUCUCUCCAAAUUGAAGUUCCCUUCCCCUCCCGAAUGACGACGGUCGUCUUCCGGUCCCUCAUGGGAUCUUCCUCCCAUGGCCUCCCUUUCGCUUCCCCCUCCCUUCUUCUCCGCAAACUCCACGCAUCCUCUCCCCCCUCCCCCCUUUUCUACGUCUGGUACACUCUUGCCCUGGCAGCAGCUUCACUCGUUUGUGGUUCGUCUUUCCCCCUCCCCCUUUCCUCGCACGCAGACCCUGAAGUCCACCCAGGCGAUGGCGGAUGCGAUGCGUGGGGCGACCAAGGUACGUCUUUCUUGCCAUCCGCGCAGGGGUCAGGUCACCCUUCCUGGGGUUGACCCACGAACCUGGCUCCACCCAUUAGCUGGCCAAGACUAAGGAUGGUCCGCCAAGGCUCGCCUCCGUGUACAUGUAGCCCGUUACCUGUGACAUGUUCUCAAUUUAGGGGGUCACAAAGUCGUCACAACAAAGCCCGAGGGGGAACCCCGCGGCAGUUCAUAGUUGCCGCUAAUGUGGCGCGAGCCGGCCGGGGUUGCCUGGCUUAGCUCAUUAAGAGGCGAGUUGGCGAGCCGGAGUUGGCGGUCGUGGGUAUAGGCCACCAAGAAAGGCUCUGUAAGGGGGGAGGCGGCGGCCGGAGCGGAGCAGCACAAGCUGGGCUGGGACCAUUAGGGACAGGGACAGGGGGGAGCGGUGUGUGUGUAUGUAUGUAUGUUUGUAUGUAUGUAUGUAUGUUUGUUUGUAUGUAUGUAUGUAUGUAUGUAUGUAUGUAUGUAUGUAUGUAUGUAUGUAUGUAUGUAUGUAUGUAUAGAACCCCAACCGAAGGAACGAGGGCGCGACGAAGCCACGAUUUACCGCCUGAUGCCCUCUUCAGUCAUGGAGGAGGGCAGGGCACCCAGAUCUGCGUGUUGUCAAUGAACUACAAUGAGCCGCGGGGCCAACUGCCGGGGGAAACUGACGGGGGGAGGGAAAUGGCACGCGAAUGCAACUUUAUUUCCGUGCCCCUGUGUGUGUAUGUAUGUGUGUGUCUUUGUGGCGCUGUGUGUGUUUCUGUGUGUCUCUCUGCCGCCGCUGCCCCACAUCAUGCCCCUGCAGGCCAUGCGCGCCAUGAACCGGCGCCUCAACCUGCCCAACCUACAAACCAUCAUGCGGGAGUUCGAGCGACAGAACGAGCGCAUGGAGAUGACCAGUGAAAUGAUGGGGGAUGCGGUGGACGAUGCGCUCCAGGUAGGAUGGGGAGGGGAAGAGGGAGGGGGAGGGGGGGGCAGUUUCCAGAUUUGUUGCGCUCCUCUAUCUAGAUCUACCGGGUGUUAUCUGCCUGCUGCGGCGGCUGUUGCUGCAGCGGCUGUUGCUGCAGCGGCUGUUGCUGCAGCGGCUGUUGCUGCAGCGGCUGUUGCUGCAGCGGCUGUUGCUGCAGCGGCUGCGAUUUUGGAAGCUUUGUUGAACUUGCGUUGAUCGGUUUGGGUUUGUAGGCUCGUUCUUUGCUGCAUGCCUCCGGAGUGGGGUAGUGGAUCAGCCUGGGGUUAUGGUGACGCUUUUGGACUGUGUAAUGUCUUGUAUGUCUUGGCGCCUGGAGAUAAUGCCUAUAAGAAAUGGGUGCGGCAUUGUUGCAAACGCCACACGGCCACGUCGAUCAUCUAUUUUUAGAGCCCAAUCACCCCGUGUGCAGUAGUACUGAACUAUGCUGUGUGGCCUCGCCCUCGUGUGCCGUGCGGUGCCGUACUACGUCAUGCCGUACAGGACGAAGGCGAGGAGGAGGAGACGGACAACCUUGUUAAUCAGGUCCUUGACGAGAUCGGCAUCAGCAACAUGACUGAGGUGCGUCAAGGCGAAAAAAACAAAACCGUUUUGGAGGCGAUGAACGUUGCUGCUGUUUGCUGUGUGGCAAUUUGGCAAAACCGCAUCCACUCGCUCGAGCGGUUAAUCUACGCGAACAUAACUCCUUCACAACUCCUCCGCAGCUAUGUUCAACAUUGUCUCCCCUUGUCGGUCUCCCCCAAGAGCCCCAGAGGCACCAUUUCCCUCCUAAUGUUUUGGAUUUUUGCUGCAUGCUAUUUGCCGCAUGUGAUUUCCUCCCUCUCACUCCCCUCUCUCUCUCUCUCUCUUCCCCUCGUGCCGCAUGUGAUUUCCUCCCUCUCACUCCCCUCUCUCUCUCUCUCUCUCUCUCCCCCCUCGUGCCGCAUGUGAUUUCCCCCCCUCUCACUCCCCCCCCUCUCUCUCUCUUCCCCUCGUGCCGCAUGUGAUUUCCCCCCUCUCACUCCCCUCUCUCUCUCUCUCUCUUCCCCUCGUGCCGCAUGUGAUUUCCCCCCUCUCACUCCCCUCUCUCUCUCUCUCUUCCCCUCGUGCCGCAUGUGAUUUCCCCCCUCUCACUCCCCUCUCUCUCUCUCUCUCUUCCCCUCGUGCCGCAUGUGAUUUCCCCCCUCUCACUCCCCUCUCUCUCUCUCUCUUCCCCUCGUGCCGCAUGUGAUUUCCCCCCUCUCACUCCCCUCUCUCUCUCUCUUCCCCUCGUGCCGCAUGUGAUUUCCUCCCUCUCACUCCCCUCUCUCUCUCUCUUCCCCUCGUGCCGCAUGUGAUUUCCCCCCUCUCACUCCCCUCUCUCUCUCUCUCUUCCCCUCGUGCCGCAUGUGAUUUCCCCCUCUCUCAUUCCUUUCUCUCUCUCUCACUCACACACACACACACACUCUUUCUCUCUCCCCUUUUUGCGUCAGUUGGCGGCGGCGCCGGGGACACGCAUUGCCGAGAAGCCUCAGGCCGCACCGGCCGUGGCGGAGGCGGAGGGCGGGGCGGGGCUUGAUGAAGAUCUGCAAGCGCGACUUGAUAACCUGCGCAAGUCCUAGGGAUCCUAGGGGGUCUUAGGGGGGGUCCUAGGGGUUCCUAGGGGUCGACGGGGGUGACCUUAUCCUUAGGUGUGUGCCGCGGCGCUACGAGCUACGUCAGUCAGGCCGCACUUGUCCCCAGCUGCGUAAACCGGUGAGUGACUGCUGCACCGAAAGCUGCCAGUCCCGCAGUCAGCCGACGCAGCCAGCUGAAGGGGCGCAGUGGUCGACCAACCCACCGUGUAGCUGAUGCUGUCCCGGUCUGGCACACGGUUCUUCUGAUAUGUGGUGUAUCGCGGCGUGGGUUUGGCAAGUUGGGAGGAUUUAUGUGGAGGGAUGGAAUGUGGCGGGUUGGCUGGCGCUGAGGCUGCCGCGAUUGGUUGGUUGGUUAGUUGGUUGGUUGGUUGGUUGGUGUUAUGGGCACGGCAGUGAAGCAGGAUUGGUGUGUGGGCCAAGCGGAGGCGUGUUGAACGGCGUAAGUUUUUACUUACAUCAUACAGGUGUACAUUGUCAUCAUCAUCACCGUCAUUAGCACAGCAAACAGCAAGCAGUGGCAAGCAGCGACAAGCAGCAGCAUAGGCACACCAAGAAGACUGGGGUGUCGACGGCUAUGGGUGUUGGGGUGCGUGCAGGAUGACUGCCAUGCAGAUUCCCGUGUGUGUAUGAUGUGUGGGACAGGGGGGACAUAUCUUCACCCGGGACCGCACCCGUGUGUAUGUGUGUGUGCGUAUGUAUGCGUGUGUGCGUACGUGUGUGUUCUUGUAAUGUGCCACGGCAGGUCAACAUCACAAUCAAUGCGGAGGAGGUUGAAGCGGGGGGGGAGAGUGUAGGUAGUAUUGGCACGAGACGAAAACGGGCCGCUGGGAGGUAUACGAUGCCAGAGGGCCCCAAAGCAUCAAUGUCCAGCCAGCCCUGGGCAUCCAGGUUUGCUGUUGAUGUUUUUGAAUUUACUCAGUCAAGACAAGACACAACACGACACGACAUGACAAGAGGCCGCGCGAAGGCCAGGGCAUCAGGUUCGCAGCUGUGCCGUGUGGGAACAGGGUUACGGCAAUAAUGGUCGUGACUCAAGGGGAAGUCGUAAGACACUGAGGCCGUGAUGGAAAGAGGAGGUUAGGCGGUCGUCCGGGCAAAGGCAAGCCUGUGGGUCGCGGCUCGGGCAGUCGGGAAAAAAAUUAAUUCCCGCCCGGGGCCUCCCUCCCGCCCGGGGGAGAUGUGGAUGUGCUCACGGCUGUGAAAAGGGGUUUAGGGCUUUAGGGUUUCGGGACGAUGAAACCUGCUGGAACCGGGAGAAUUGAAGAAAACGACGAUGAUGAAGAACCGGGAGAAUCGCCUCAUUUACGGGCAUGCGAUGGUGGUGUGUGACCGUGUGCCGGGCCAGUUAAAGCGGGUAAUGACGACGUCGCUUGGCGCAUGGACUGUUUCAUCAUCAUCAUCAGCAGCAGCAUCUCCGGCAGAAUAGUUACCUGUCAGUUUUGCAUUAGCUAAAGGUUGACCACGGUUUGACUGGAGUGAAGGAUUUUCUUACCGCGAACGAGGAUGAAGGGUGUUUUGUUUGAUCAGAGGCUUGAUACACACCGACCUGACCCGUUACAUGAGCACCGUUGCAAGAUCUGCAGGGGCUGCGCGGUAGUUAAGUGGCUUUUUACUGGACAGUGCUGGUAAGCGACAUUGACAGUUGCGUCUCGUGUGUGUGUGUGUGUGUGUUUCGUAAUGCUGGUUUGUGUGUUUUGGACGAGACAUCAUCGGCCGCUGUUCAUGUUUCCGGUCGGGUAAGAAGGAACACAGUUCACCUCGCCGUGGAGUAUAUUCCAUUCCCAUUUCAAUGCAAGCGGAUGACGCUCGCAUCACGGUGAUUCCUAUUUAAACCAUCCAGCCUGUCAGGGCUGGAACCGACCGAACAGGUUCUUUCCUACCUUACACAUGCAAACUGCGAACUCCUAAGAUGUGACGCCGUGUCAAUGGUUAAAGCGGUAUACGGCGUUGUGAUGAGCGGAUUUACGUAAGAGAAGGCGUUCACAGUACCGGUCCUGAACAUUUAGGUUCCUUCUACAGCUUCACUGUGCAGACCAUCAUUACCUGCUUCACAUAUAUUUUCGCUCCGAGAAAAGUACGCAGCUGAUAAUGUCAUGGCUGUCCUAGUGAAUUGGAUUUCUGCUUUCCAGGGCCCCCAACAGCACAGUAUAUAAUCGAAUCAUGAGAAAAAGUAUAAGCUGCAGUUUGAGGUUGAAUUUGUGAUAUAUUGUACUACGUACGGCGUAUCAUAUUCUGAUGACGAGAAUUGUACAAACUUGCAAUUGGUGUGCAAUUACCGUUGUUUUCAGUUGUAUGCUUUUGUCCCUUAGAUCCUAGCUAUCCAAUGUACGGUGGCGGAUGCCAACGCGAUGCUGAAGUUACCAUAGGCGCGCAGGCGUAAAAAACGUAUAGCGCGGCCGUGGUCGCUCAUCCGUGGCUGCUUAUGCUCACAAACAUGAUUAACCAGCCCUUCUUGGUGCAGAGCCUAGCGCAGGUAGCGAACGAUUGCGGUCGGAAGUAGGAAGGCGCGCUCCUGAUAUGAUCCCGCGACGCAGUGCCUGAAAAUGUUUACAAUCUGUUUGGCAUUAUGGAUUUUCGGGAAGCUGUAAGACUCUCCAAGGCCGGCGUGUUGACUUUAGGCAAUGGAGCGCUCUGCGCUUGCGAAUCCGACACGACGGCAAGCCUCAGGAGCAGACACAGCCCUAUCGAAUGCUGUCACCAGCGUUACUGUUUCCCAGCAAGAGUCGGAGGGCCAGGCGUCGGAGCCGGCAGCGGGCAGCACAGGAGAGCCUCCCAGUCCGGUAGGAUGUUUCCCGAAGAAAACCUGUAUCCUUAAUCAUUAUGUCGUGGAAUUAAGUUGCCAGGGCAAUUAGCUGCUUUGCCGACGUGCUGUCUUUGCCGUUCUGCUCCACAGCGCGCAGCCCGGAGCCAAGUGUCAACGGCGGUAUCAUUCGAAGGUGCACGUGCUGCGGGAUCGGCGGUUCAGCCGGAACGAUCCGUUGACGAGGACAGCGCGCUGUCAGCCGCGGAGCCUGACGGUAAGCCUAUGCGCGGGAUUUGGGUUUUACGACGUGUUGUUCCAAGCUGAACAAUUUGCGCCAACCUGAUCGCGACACACCGAGAAAAAUCGUAAGCCCGCCCGUUAUCUCGUCUUUUAUUCAGCCAGCACGCUUCCUUCCUUUUUACACAGGUCCUGUCCGGUCAAACCGUCCUCAGCAGGGCUCCCGGCCCGCCAAUAGCCUCAUUUCCACGGCGGUCCAUCCUGCAAUCCGUAACGUAAACAACAGCAGCAAGCUGCCGCCGCCGCCACAGCAACAUUACCCUAAUAAUAAGCAGCAUCAACUGCAAACCCACCAGCAAGCGUUUCUGCAACAGCAAGUACAGCAACAACAGCAACACGCACACCAUCACCAGCAACUCCAGCAGCAGCAACAGCAGCAGCGCCACGCAGCGCCGGCGGCAGCAGACCAGACGCCUUAUGGUCGCGGCGCAGGACCAACAGCCGAACAUUACGCGUCUUCGCCGGAGGUACAGCGACCCCACAGCAUCACCUCCCAGGCCGCGGAAACACGAGGAGAAGGCCACGGCCACUGUCAUGGUCACGCCGGGCGUAGUGAGGCAGAGCAGGAAGGCGCGGUUGUGGGUCACGGCAUACGAGGUCACCCAACGCGGUCAAACAUACGCGGCGCGACGCCGGCGUCGGUGUAUGGACAGAUCCAGGCGCCCGGAAGAGCCCCCGGACCACCCUCCCCGCGGAAAGCCCACCAGCAUAGCCUUCAGGUACGGUACCGAUGAGAGACAAGGUAAUCAUUUUUUGGGACCUGAGCAACCUGAGCGAAAUGAAUGGAAAAGGAGUCAGUUCAAAGGAUGUCACGUCUGUUCGGUAGCUUUGAGAAUUGGCUCUGACAAUUAUGGCGCGUGUGUGGUGGUGGUGGUGGUGGUGGUGAUAGUGGUGGUGGUGGUGGUGGUGAUAGUGGUGGUGGUGGUGGUGAUAGUGGUGGUGGUGAUGGUGGUGGUGGUGGUGAUGGUGGUGGUGGUGGUGGUAGGAAGUGAGGGGGCCCUCCCUUCUUGUCCAUCUGGUGCGUGCGGGGGGAACGACGAACCACGAGCGAGUGAAGCUGAUGGCAAGGAAAGACUGAUGCGCCAGAAGUAAAGAAGGCAUGCGGGGGGGGGGGAGGGCCGGAGAACAGGAAGUUGUGCGAAAAGCAGGGAUGGCGUGCCCGCUCGGCGAGAGACAUGACUAUCUGCGGUUACCAAUGCCUGGAUGUAUGCCAUUUCGUUUUCCAACCCUUCUGGAUUGGCAGCCGCCUUUUUGCAAGCAGCCUAGGCAGGAAAGGGGCGCCGGCAUGUGUGUGUGUCUGAGUGUGUGUGUCUGUGUGUGUGUGUGUCUGUGUGUGUGUGUGUGUGUGUACUUGCAAAUCCUUGCAAAGUGCUGUCAGCUGCCAAGCCCCAUGUGCAAUGCGCGUCCAACGCGCAAGAUGACGUGAUGGAGGGAAGCAUUCAGCGAUGUCGGAUUUCGAUGCCAAUUUUCAUGCUGCAUGCAGUGGGCAAGUACCGUUGGCGGAGGCGGCUCGGUGGCAGAAGGCAUGUACCCCGCAACGGCCGCCGCCGCCGCUGCAGCUGCAUUGCUGGGCAACGGGCUGGUCGGCGGCUGGGGGCUUGUGCAGGGCUUGGGCCGCGGCGCGACAAGUAUCGCCGCCACUGGCCACAGGCCACCGCCCCUCCCCCACUCCCUGCUGGCCGCCUCUCCAUUCAACCUCGCGGCGCUUGGCCAGCUACAGCUCCAUGCAGCAAGCCACAUGCAGCAGCAAGCAGCAGCUGCGGCGGCGGCGGCGGCAGCCGCUUCGGCUGGCACGGGGCCGGGCUUGGGCGGCGCCGCAGCACCUGGCGGGGGGCUGCUAUGGCAACCGUCUGAACAGGCGGAAAGUGUUGCUGGAGAGCUCUCACAGCCGCCCCUGGCGGCGGCGGCGGCGGUACUGCAAGCGGCCGAACCAGCGUCCCCGACGCAGCCAGGCCAUAAUCAGCUGCUGUCGCCGCCACCACCACCACAGCAGCAGCAGCAGGCUCUCCUCCACCAAGUUGGCCCGGCCCCAGCUUCAGCUCCGUGGGUUAGCGGCCCAGCUGGGGCCGGAAUGCAGGACGACGGCGACGGCGACGUGCACGGCGCUGGUCACGGCAGUGACACAGGGGCAGGCGCGGGCAUCACUGCUCCUGCAGGCCUUGGGACCCAUGGCCAGCAAGCGGCCGCACUUCCCUCCUCACCGGACGGUGUCGUGAGCCGCCACGCCAGGACCCGCCGCGGCAGGUCGUCGUACAGUAUGUCGGGCGCAUUGCUGGGGCCGGUGUACGGCGGAGGGCAGCAUGGGGUCCACCCGUUUGCACUGGCGGAUAUGCACGGGCUCCAGGGAUUGCUCAUGAGCGCGUCCAUGACUGCGGCCGCGGCCGCAGCGGCGGCGGCAGGCGGCGCCGGCGCCGGCGGACUCGCAGACGAUCAAGGAGGAGCAAUCAUGGCGACACCAUCCGGGCUAGGGCGGGGAAAGUCUGAGCAGCAGCAGCCGCUGCCGCAGCAGCAGCACACCCAAGGCUCGUCCCAUGUUGGAUCCGGAGUCCAGCACCCCCAAGCGCACCCGCACCAGCGCUCCAUGGCCGCUGCUGCGGCGGCGGCGGCGGCGGCGGCGGCGCAUGCAAGCAGUGGCCUACAGGUGCUGCCGCCGCCGCAGUAUCACCAUCACUACCACCAUCGCCAAGCACAAGAGCAUACUGGAGAUCCGCAAAGCCAGCAACAGCAGCAGCAGCAACAGCCGCAAGCGCUGUUGUUCCCGGGGCGGGGGCAUGGUCAGAGCGAGGGGGCAGGUGGCGCACCCGCCGCGGCCACCAAUGCGCCUGCUGGCGGAUCGGCCGCCAUUGACGCCGCCGCAGCGGCAGCGCUGCAUGGCUUGCAGGUUGCUGCAGAGCCUGUCGCGACAGCCACCGCCACCUCCGCAUGCGGUGGUGGGAAUGGGACUGUCGUAGAUGGCGGCGUCGCCGCCGCCGCCGCCGGGCCGCCGCCUGGUUUCGGAGCUGGAGGUCCCCGACCCGCCAUGCAAUUGUACGUGCCGGUCAUGGUUCCGCUAGAGCUUGUGAGUGCACAGAUGGCCAUAAACCAGGCUGCAGCGGCAGCGGCUGUGGCCGCGGGUGCCGUAGCCCAAGCGGCGUCGCCCGUUGAUGGUGCCGGAGGCGCGAUGCCUGCUGCCGCUCUUGGCGGUGGGGGCGAGAAGGGUGUUGCUGGUGGUGGCGGCGGUGGUGGGAGCCCUGGCGGCGACAGCAGGGACUCUCCGAUGGGCGCCGCUGAUGUAGCCGCAGCAGCAGCCCACUCUACUCAGGCCCUCGACACGUCCUCGCGUCACUUAUCCGAAUCCGGGCAUGAGUCCGCACAUCAAAACGGUUUGUCAGCGGGAGCUCGCAGCGCUGGCGGCGCCAGUGCGGGCGGCGGCAGCGGCGGUGGUGACAUGGGCGGCGGUAGGAGCCUGGCCGUGCCCUGCGCAGCAGCGUCAGUGGCGCGCUGCGGCGGUGGCGGCGGCAGCGGGGCCCACGCAGGCGGCGGCGGUGCCGGUGCGGCUGUCAACGCCACUGCUGCCAACGGCCAUGGCCAUGGUCGGUGUGCUGCAGGGGAUGCACGCGGCCUGGGUCUUGGUAGUGGAGGCCGUGUGUGUACGGCGGCAACCGCUGCCGCCGCUGGGGCGCAGCACAGCGCAGGGAGCAACCCCGGGGCCGGCGGCUCGGGUGGCGAAGGCGCAGGCAGCCCUGAGGCGGAAGGUACUUUGAGACGUGCCGCUGCUGCGGCCGCGCCGGCGGCGUCUGCUGCUGAAACUGUCAUGGCGUCGGUAGCCCCGAUGGGGGCGCUUCUUGGCGCUGGCGUACCACUGGGGAACGCCGCGGACGCAGACCACCCCGGCAACGGCGCGGACGCCGCCGCCCCUGCAGGUGGCGGCGGCGGACCCGCGGCCGCUGGCGCCGCCGCCGCCGCCGCUGCAUCUGUGGGUGCAGGCGCUGGCUUCGUCGGCAUGGGUUUCGGGGCCGGAAAUCUUAACGAGCAUAACAAUAACCAUCACCACAACAACAAUCUGGCGAUUAACGCGCACAGUAACGCAUACGGCGCGGGUCCGUCGAUGACGCAGACAGCAGAUUACCGCUCGCACUUGCAGGUCGCGCUGAGUUUGCUGUUGCAGGCCACGUCCGCGGCGUACAACAGCCAGCGGCAGAGCGGCGUCGCUGGCGCGAAUGAAGGGUCGGGGAUUUUUGCCGCGGCGGUACAGCAAGCGUCAGCCAGCAACGCCGUCGGGCAGGAGAUGAGCGAGGGCAUGGGCGGGAGUGGCGCUGGCGACGGCGGCGUGGGGGGAGCGGUUGUCAGUGGGAAUGCCGGCGGCGGGGGCGGUGGGCUUGAUGGCAGCGGGAGCGGUGCGGGACGGGCUGCUGGCGGCGGCAAAGCCAACGGGGCUGCUACUCUUCAUGACGGGGGUGGUGGUGGUGGUGGCGGCGGCGCUGCGUUGGCGGCAGCGGCGCACUCGAUGCAUGGUGCAGCCAUCGGUCCCGCAGCGGCGGCGGCGGAGCCAAUGGAUACGGAGGGGCAGGUUGUGGACCAGGCGACGGCGGCAAGUCGCGGCCUACACACAAGCCCAGGUGCCGUGGCGGCAGCGGCGUUGCGGGAUGUUGUUGCUGACGAUGGCGGCGGUGGCGGCCGCGGCCGCGAUGCUGGCGGCAGCGGCGGCAGCCCGGAGGCCUACCAGGCGCCACAAUGGUCGACGCAGCGCGGCGGCGGUGGCGGAUGCGGCGGCGGCGCAAGGUCAGCCAUGCACGGAAGCUCGGGAGCUGCUGCCCUUGCCGCCGGCCGUGGCAGCAACCUAAACAACGGCGCCGCUGGCGGCGGGGCCCCUCAUGGCCACCCUGGAAUGCAUCAUAGCCAGGUAGCGCACCACCAUCACAACCACCACGCGCAAGGGCUCCUGCUGGGACCUGCAGGGUAUCAUCACCACCACCACCGGGGAAGCAGCGCCGCCGCCGGCAGCGGCUUCGGCAAGGUGGGGCCACGGGGCGAGGGAGCCGGCUGCAGUCCCGGGGUGGCGCAGCUGGAAGGGGCGCUACUGAUGGGCGGCAAUGGCGCCGGGACCGCCGCCGUUGUUGCCGGCGCCAGCGUCGGCAGCGCUGGCGGCGCAGCCGGCGGCGACGGCGAGCAGGCGGAUAACAACUCGGCGCUUCAGAUGGAUGCGGAGGCGGGGCACCCCGCGGCAUCUGUGCAUGCGACGGUGAUUGCGGAGGAGAGUGAUGCGUCGGAGGAAGGUGGCGGCGGUGGGGGGGAUGACAGCGGGUCCAUGGAGGUGCCGCCGGCGGCCGCGGCGCGGGGCCUCGACGGCGGCGGCGGUGCUGGCGGCGGCGCCGCCGGGGGCCUUGUCGGUGGCGUUGGCAGCAGCAAGGCAGCGGCAGCGGCGGGACUGGGCGAGAUGGUCAGCCAGCGAUUCGACGGUUCCAGGUGCAGAAAGGGGGGGGAAAGGGGGGGGGGGGAGAAAUGCAGCUGGCCAAAGGUGCAAACGUUUGGAGCUGCGUCUAUCGCAUAGCCUGUGGCUUUAAUCACUCUGCCGCGCCCCUCCCUUUUUUGGCAGACUGCAGAACCCCCCGUGAUGUCUCUUCCCCAAUAAUUAUAUACAUUAUUUGUAACUUCCCAGAUCUUACUGCUCCAAUUCGUUUGCUAGCUCAAUACCUGAGUUCAACCACACGUGUAUCUAUUUAUCUUGAACCUUUUGAAUGCAAUUGUUCCUGGCGCGCGUCGCGUGAUGGCGUGAUGGCUUGGGCAAAAUGAAUUAGUGUUUGUUUGCCAUCGUUUGUUUGUGAUGAAGGGAAGGUGAGGUGCUCACCUCACCGUGCCGUACCAUGCCGUACAGGUCCCGCUCCAGGGAGGGUCAGGCCUCGAAGCCGCCGCAUGAGCACCAGCUCCUGAUGCUCCAGGGGCCUCCAGCGACGGGGGCCGGGCUGGGUGAGGUUGCCAGCCACCGCGCAGAGACGCGCAGUCCCGCGCGCCACGAUGGUGCGUUUGAAUGGUGGUUAUGCGGUGUGGGGAUGUGUGGGUUGGGGUUGGGGUUGGGGUUGGGGGGUUGAGGGCGGAUUCUGAGGGUGACCCCAAAUUGAAAGGUACGAAAUAUUUUAAGAACCCCACACAUACAUACACACAUAAACACAGCCACAGCUGACAGCUUCAAGUCACAACCGCCAUCAUCAUCAUCACCAUCACCAUCACCAUCACCAUCUAAGAACUGCGAUCAACACUACUACUUACAUCGUGGUCGGUGGCGCCAAUCAACAACACACGAGCACAACAACAAGCACAUUACAUGGUGGUGGUGGGACCUCUUCACCUGAAGAAAGCCCGGGACUGGGUCAUGUAGGGCGUAUAGGUCGAGCGAGCCGAAGGUACAUCAGACCAGCUAACAAAAAUGUUCGACAAAGAAGGGAAAAUAAACAGGAAAAGGGAAAAUGGACAGGAGCACUGCCGUACCUCUGUCUGGGAAACUUCUGGGACACCGCAAGCUGUGACAUCUCUCAUCGGUCCCAGCUCAAAACCCGCCGACUUCUGCUCUGUCCAUGCCGCUGCAGUUUGUGUGCACGCAUGCCUGUGUGCUAAUCCUAGCCCCUUGAUGCCCUGCCCCCAAACUUCUGCUCCCGACCUUUCAUUUCUACCCUUACUUUAUAUCUAUGUCCUAUGCUCGUAUUCACUGGUUGUCUUGCGCCCUUGUCCUGUGCCCGUGUUUACUGGUUUUUUCAUUCUUAGGCGGUGUUCCCGACCCGCGCGACUCGAGCAUGGGCAUGGCCGCCGGGCCUUCCCAUGACGGCACUGACAGCGACAGCAACGGAACCACCACCAGCGACACCGUGGAUAUGGCCGAGGACGACAGUCGCAUGGGUUCGGCUUCGGAGCAUGGCGAUUCGGGUGUGGGCGCAGACCCACGGGACAUGAUGCAAACGGAUGAGAAUUUGUUGCCUUUGGACGAGCAUGGUGGCGAGACCGCGGGCGCGAUGGGCGUCAAUGGAUGUGAAGAGGUAGAGGAGCGUGGUGAUGAUAAUGACAACGCCGGCAGCGCUGACGUAGGCAACGAUGAUGAUGACGACGGCGGCUGUGACGGCGGCGGCGGCGGCGGGUGCGACAACACGGAUGCCAUUGGCGGCGACCCUGACGGCGACGGCGGUGCACGCAUGAGCGUCGGGCCAGCGGCGGCGCUGCUGGGCAUGCUUGGCGGCGGCGGCGGCGGCGCCAGCACCGGUCAUAUGGGCCCUGCGGCAGCAAACAGCAACGAAAAGUGUUCUCCAGCUGACAAGGUACGGCAGUAACGCCCGUUGUCGGGGGCGGCGCGGUGCGACGCGGCGUGUUGUGCAUUUGUAAUAAGAGGCCUGAGGUUUAGGGUUUUUAAUAGUAUGAGCCUAUCUGGCAGGAGCCUAUCUGCGCUCAACUGCCUGCUGCUACCAUUUUUGAGCACAUGCAGAUGAACUGGCAUCGCCGGGAUCCUUUUAUUUGCUGCCAGUGGUGUUGGAUGUGGAGCCUGGAGCUCGGAACACGCGCUCCCUUUUAUGGUGACGCGAGCGCUGUGGCAGAUGCGCGUUUAUCGAUUUCUCCUAACAUGUGCAGUCCACACAGACCACAGGCAAAGCACUACAUGCGCAUGAACAUUUCGCCUGACCUUUCUCCAAUGGAUUACGCAACCUCGCAGGCUGCUAGCCGCCAUCCGAACUCCAACUCGCCAGAUGACAUGCGCCACCACCAUGCACACCAGCACGCCGCAGCCCACCAUAACCUCCACCACCCGGCGCUUUCAAAAGAGGUCGCGGGUGGAAACGGCGGCGGCGGUAGCGGUAGCGGCGGCGGCGGCGGUGUCGUACGCGCCUCCGCCAGCGGCACCGCCCGCAACACCGUCCACCAGCAGACGCUGCAUCACCAUCACCAUACCUCCGCCGCGGCAGCGGCGGCGGCGGCGACACUGUACGGCGCGUCCGCUUCCGCAGCGCUGGCAGCCGUGGUCGACGGCGGCGACGACGCUGAUGCGGAUAACCGAUGCGGCUUGGCUGCCGUCGUUGGCCCGGCGGCUAGUGGCGCCCUCGGCGGUGGCGGCGGGACCGCCGCAGCUACCGGCAACGGCGCCGCCGCUGCGGCGGCGCAGGUGCUGCACGACCGGGGCAGUCCUGCACUGCAGCUGCCUGAGCUACAAGCCGCCAACAGCAUCGCCAUGGGCUCGAUACGGCAUGACCACGGCGCUCCUCGUAGGUCGGGACUUCUCGGCGAUGAGGAGUCUGGUGGCCGACGGGCCGUUGGAAUGCAGCCGCAGUCGUACCUGCACGCGCUGAGAGAUGACUGGCGGCCGGCCGCCGCCGCUGCAGCGGCCGCGGUCGCGGCGGCGACGGCGGCUGUUCCUGGCAUCGGCCCGGNNNNNNNNNNNNNNNNNNNNNNNNNNNNNNNNNNNNNNNNNNNNNNNNNNGGGGGGUGGGGGUGGGGGUGGGGGUUAUUUGUUGGUACUUGAAGCUAUUGGAAUGCAACUUCGUUGUGUUGGGUAGGCCAUGGGAGUGAAGUGGCAACAUGUUGUUUGUCUAUUUGUUUGUUUGUUGCAAUGUUCUUCUGCGGGAGGUGGGUGGGGGAAUGCUGGAAUGGCAGCGAUUUGUAAGAUGUUUGGAGGCGCGUGCACAAAAUCUUGAUGGUAAACCUCUCUCUCUCUCUUCCAUAACCAUAACACAUCCCAUCGCCACUAAAGCCUUGAUACUGCUCGCGGCGUGACACUCGUUCCUCCUUUUUUUACAGUUUUGCCUACACAUACGCAUAUACAUGUGUGCACACGCGCACAACACAGGAGCAGGAUAAAAUGGCGUAGUUAGGAACAGGAGUUCAGCUAUUCGAACUGGCACACUUUUACCGCCACGACCAAAUGGCCGCUAGCUCUUCCGUUGCUCGUCCUUUGCUCGUCCAGCCCGUCGCAAUCCCUGCUGUUUUCAUGUCCUGCCCGAUGUGUGACACCCCCAGCUGGCGGCGGAGCUGAAGCCGACGGCGGCGCCGGCGCUGGUGACUUGGCUGCUGCGGUCGCGUCCCGUAGCGCGGGCACAGCGGCUGUUAAGCAAGAGCGCUCAGGCUCGGCGGCGAUGGCCGUCGGGUGCGGUAAUGGCAAUGGCGGCGAUGGCGGUGCCGGGACCCGUACCGGCGGCGGCGGCGGUGGCGGUGCCGUCCUCCCUGUAGCACACCACUAUCUCCACACUGGCACGCUGGACUUGGCGGAUGUGGAGAUGAAAUCUUCCAGCCAGGAGGCCGCCGGGAGUGUACGACAGCGGCCAUCGAUGUCUGACGGACUGCCGGACGACCAGCAGCAACUGGAUCCCCAUCAUCACCACCACCGUCACCGUCACUACCAGCUUCAGCAAUUCCAGGAUCGUCCACCUCCUCCUUCUCCUCAUCCCGCUCCGCAACAACAGCAGCAACAACAACAACAGCCGCAGCAGCAGCAGCAGCUACAGCGGCAGCUGCUACAGCUCCGUCGCGCUGGAGGAGGAGAAUCAGGAGCCGGUCUUGCGGUAAUGAUGGCCGGAGAGGAUGCGGCUGACAUGUCGCCACCGCCACCGCUCUAUCCCCAUUACCAGCACCACCACCAGCUCCAUUCGGCGCCGCUGCAGCAGCAACAGCAAUACGCCGCUGAGUUGUUGGUCAGUCAACCGCGUGGCUCACAGACUCUUGGGCCGGCGCUUUCCCAUUCCCAACAAGUCUCGCCUCAUCAGCACCAAAACACACACUCGCACUCGCACUCUCACUCGCUCUCCCACAAACACUUGGUUUCACGGUCUCACACACACCACCACCGCCAACAGCAGCAGCAACAGCAGCAGCAGCGGCAGGCAGAGGACACGGCGGACGUGAUCGAAAACACCACCCUCGCGGCUCUGGGCGGCGGCGCGGUGCUGCACCCCGCCAGUGUACUCACAACUGCUUCCCAACCGCAGCCGCUACUGCCGCUACAACAGCUACUACCUCACCAGCAGCGGCUUCGAAACGACGGCGGCGGCGGUGGGGAUGCUGCAGCGGUUGGCAGCGGGGGCCGUCCGGCCGACGCGGAGGCCGUGACCCACGGGUCUGCCGGCCGGGGCGACGGCCACCUAGCCGACCGCAUCUCACAAGAGGCUGUACCGCAGGUGACGGAGAUCCACGGGGCGUUUCCCGGAAUGGCGGCGACGGCGGCGGAGGCGCUGGCGUUACACCAGGAGGAAGAGCGUCAGCGAUUGGCUCUGGGGCCCGCAGCCGCUGUCGCUGCAGCGGGGGAAGCGGCGACGGCAAGGGCAGGGACGGCGGCUGCGGCUGCGGCUGCCGCCGUGGGGGGCAUCGCCGCGGCUGCCGCCGACACCCAGGCCAGUUGGCAAGGAGAGGAAGAUUGCCAACCCAGCGGCUCCCCAGGCGGCCCCAGCCUCUCCGCCGUCAUGCCACAGUUCACGGAAGUCCAUGGAGCCUUUACGCGUACCGCAGGCACCGCUGCAGAGGCACAGGCUUCGGGUCUGCUGCUGCUGCACCUUCGUGGUGGCGCUGGAGCGGUAGGGGAUAAUGGCGGCGGCGGCGGCGGUGAUGGUGAUGGUGGUGGACCCGUCGUCGUCGCCACCAGCGGCGGCGGCGGCGGCGGCGGACAUCACCUUGGGACUGCAGACCCACGGGUCGCUCGGCCUCGUGCCGGACAGUCAAUGUCGCAACCCGGUGCACGCCUGACGGCGCCUCGCGAUGCGGAGGUUGUGGGUGUUAGCGUUACUCAUGCAACGGUGGGUGAUGGGGCAGGGGCUGACGGCAGUGCCAGUCCCCAGCUCGGACGGGGUGAUGGCCCGUCCGCUGUCGACACUGCCGCCGCGUUGGGUUUGGGGGUCCACCCCCGGACCUGGCAACAGCAUCAUCAGCAGCAGCAGCCACACCGCCGGCAGCCACAGCCACAGCAGCAGCAUGGCGAUGAAGCCGUUAUGGAUAUCGGACUGCGGUCACAGGGGCAACUACAGGAUGAACACGCACCGCACCAACUGCAAGCACAUCCGUUUCGGGCGGAUAGGGGCGCGGCGGCGUCCGUUGCCGCGGCUGCCGCCACGGGGCGUGUCGCUGGGGAUGGGGGGGAUUCUGCUGCAGGGGCUGUCGCAGCCGCCACGGAAGGCGGAGGGCACGGAACCCCAAGUGGAAGUGCCGUACUAGGAGUUGGCGGCGGUAAUAACACCCGCACGAAGGCAGAGUCCGCGCUUCACAUCGCCCGUGGAAACAGAGAGCUGCCAAAUCGCGCCAGCGGCAGCGGCGGUGGUGGCGGCGGUGGUGGCGGCAUGGGCAGCUGGACCUUGCGUUCUGGCCGUGUACGGGCCGGUGUACGUGAGGGCUCCGCGCACGCGGGAGCAGCGGCCGCGCACGCCAGUCUCGACGGUGACGGUGACGGGGAGGCCGCACCGGUUUCCGUCGACGGUCAUGGCAGCAACGGCGUCGCGCCUUUGGAGCCGUACGGAGACAAUGACGGCGUUGCGACAGCGACGGUGUCGCAAAGCGGUGAGGUAAUGCUGCCGCCGGUCGCCGUCGUGAACUUUGCCGCGGGUUUGGCUGGAGGGGUAGCGGCGGCGGCGGUUGAGGGGCCCGGGGUAGCUGCAGCUGACGACGUACAGGAUGUUCAGGACUCCAGUCGCAGGGGAGAGGGAUUUUGUGGACAGCGGCUGCAUGGUUCAGGUCGCGCACUGUCAGCUGUCGCGAGCCGCGGCUGCGGCCGUGGCGCUGCAGACGGCGCGGCCGUCGGCAGCGGCGGAGGCGGAGGCAGCGGAGAUGCGUUUGGCGGCGGCGCGACCCCUGAUACCCGCUGGCUGUUCCGGCACGGAAUGGCGGCGGCGGCAACGGCGGGGGCUGGCCGCCUAGGAACGCCGGCCUGGGUUCCUCACCAAACUUCACUGCCGCCUCACCAACAGCAGCACCUACAACAAUCGCCGCCGCCGCAGCCGCGUGAGCUAAUAUCUCCCGCGGAGGCGGGGGCCGGAGUCCACGGUAGCGGCGAAGGAUGCCGUCAAGCACAACAUGCGCAGGCGGCCGAGGGGCCACUAUCUACCCAAGCCGAUGCUUAUGGUGGGUACGACGAUGACGAGUACGACUACUCGGACGGCGAAAGAAGGCGGGCGGAGGGCCCCCCACAGCCGCAGUUGACCAUCUUGGUCACGUCCCACGCUGCAAACUCGCAUCAUACGGUCAGCGGUGGUACGGCAGUGGUUUCGGAGGCUGAUAACGGCGUUGCGGGUGCGGGGCCGGGCGGCGCAGGAGGCAGCCCGGCAGUUGCGGCGUGGGAGGAGGAGUUUGAUGGUCCUCAUCGCCCGUUGGGCGGCUGCGACGGCGUAGCGCAGCAGGGCAGCUGGCGCGGCGGCGGGGAGGGUGAGGGCGAAGGCGCGGGCGGCGGCGGUCCUACCAAGUCCACCGUCAUGUCGUCUGGGCACGUUGAGGCGAACCCACAUCCACAGCGCACCACGCCGCGAGGAGGCGGCCGCCGCAACCGCGACCACCACCACAACGACCAUCACCAUCAUCAUCAUCAUCAUCAUCAUCACCGCAAUGACCUUUAUCCCCAGUACAGGAAUGACCACGCGCAAGACCUCAAUGCUUUCUUUCCAACUCGAAGUGUCGCGUUCGGUGAGCAAGUGCAGGGUCCCUUCGCGCCGCUGCAGAAACAAUAUGAAGAUGAGCGGCAGCAACAGCAGCAACAGCAACAGCAACAGCAUCACAGUUUGGCCGGCUGUACGGCGACUCAUCCUGGGCAGUCGAGGUCUAGGCGUGGCGGGUGCGGGGGAGCGGGAACGGGAGGGGCAUCGGGGGACGUGCAAGGAGAUGCGGCUAUGGAGGGGGAGGAGGAGGAGGAGGACGGGGAGGCGGCGGCGGCGGCGGCGGCGGGGGCCGUGCCUGGCCGCCGAGGAGGCCGCGGAUCCCGGUCUCGUGGAACCCGUGAGGCCGGCGGCGGCGGUGGUGGCGGCGGCGGCGGCGGCGGCAGGGGCCGUCGGGGAGGUCGGGGAGGUCGGGGGGUUCGGGCACGUGGGGAAAAGAGAAAGAGAAGCGCCGCGCAGUCCUCGCCCGAGCGUGAAGACGACCCCAGGUUAGCUGCUGUCGGCGCCACUGCCGCCGCCGGUAGGAGAGCAGCAGCAGCAGCAGCAGCAGGGGGCGACAACUAGGUACAGCAAAAGGGGGGGUAGAGGGGGUACAGGGCGCUGUGCCGUCGGGCCUACAGCAGCAGCCUUUGGCGCGGUGCGUAUCAGCGCUACAGGUCGCACGUGUCUUCUCAGCAGUAAUCAUCGGAGGGGGGGGACUUAGUGAGCCGCAACACGGACAGCACGGGGGAGAUUUGUUGUACAUGCACUGCAGCCAGGGCAGUGCAAACCUAAAAACCCGGAGUAUACGGGCCGGGUCGGGUAUGCUCGCUUGCAUCCCGUAUGUAUACACACAUACACGUCCAAUACAUACAUACAUACAGGGGUGCAUGGGCCUUGGGCCAGAAUUUGACCUGUGGGUUAAUCCCACGGCGGCGGUGCAGGAGCUUGUGUAAGGUGUGGCGAUGCGGUGGUGGUUGCGGUGUGGCGGGAUGGUUUGGCGGGAUGUGCGCAUGUGGCAUAUGCUGGUCUGUCUGCGUGGUUAGGUGGGGUGCGGGGAUUGUAGCUCACUUGCUCUCGCGUGUGUGUGUGUGUGUGUGUGUGCCGAUCUGCUGGCCUUGGCAAUUCCGUGCUUGGCAUGGGUGGCGGCGCGGGGUUGUAACCCGGGGCUAGCUUCCCCCGGCCCUUCCCCCCGCGGGUGGUGUCGCCGCCACGUGUGGCUUUUUACUUUUCUUUCUUUGCAAAGGAAGGAGUUCGGUUGCAGUUGGUGGUUUAGGUGGUUACAGGGCAACCAGCCAUGCUCGUUAGGUUCUGCAGUCCUCUGGCGUGGACCCCUUAUGCUCGGGGUCGUGUGCCUGGCGGUGCCUGGUAGUGUGCCUGUGCUUUCCAGAGCCUAGCAGGCCGCCCUGCUGCUCUACUCCCGCAACGGCGGCGAUAUCAUGUCAUGCGUGAUGUAGGAGCGCGGCAUCAGAGAACGCGUGUGGGUGCCAGACACCGUGCUUUCCAUGAAUAGAGUUUUGUCGCUGUGACGUAAACGCAUGUGAUAUCGGCUUUUUUACCAUGCACGGUAUGCGUGAGGUCACCUCUGCUCUUGUCCUUGUCCGUGGUGUUUGCUCGCUCCAUGCUUCUGUAUGUGGCCGCGGCGGUGGUGAUGGUGACGGUGGUAGUGCUGGUCUAAUAUUGCCAGUGACGGAAAGAAAGACAGCUAAGAAGGGUGGGGUUUGCCAGGCGUCCGUGAAGCGUUGUUUCAGUUAGGGACCUUGCAUGUGGUGCCGCACGCUCACGUGUGCGAUGAAGGAUCUCCGUUAUCCGUUCCGGCCGCCUUGUUGUUCUAGAGGUGAAGCAGCACCUCAGGGUGGAUUAAGCAGCUUGGAGCGGUGGAGCCUAUGUUUUACAUAUCUGCAGUAUUACACAGCGGUGGCAUGGAUGGAUUGGUCAACUCCGGCAGAGGAGGAAGAGGAAGAGGAAGAGGAGAUGGGGGGGAGCUUCCCCCAAGCCGGGUCCAGAUGCUUCCCUGAAGGUAUGCCGGGGGUGGACUGGACAGCUCUAGGGGGAAAAGGGCGCGCCUGUACGUUUUGGGGGCUAUCCGAUUUGGUGUAAGGGGGCAAACUCGAGUCAGCGAUGGACUUCCCUCCCCAAGCCAAGACUUCCGUUCGCCUGCCCUUACGGGCUUCAGAUAGCUCCCAUGGAUUGGACGUCGGGCCAUUUAAGCUCAAAAUAAAGUACGUUUUACGCAGACCAGCCGUGCAGGUGGACCGGUGUUCCGUCAUACGUCGGCAGCAACUCCCGUCACUCCCAUCGCAAUACGGCUGAGGGAACCGACCAGAGCCGACGACAGCGUCGUGGUCGCCUAAAUACUUGAUGCCAAGAGCGCAAUACCCAUCCUCUAAAACCACAUUCAAUGGAACAAUGACAAUGAAACUGCAAAAAGGGAGGAACAGGGCCUGGCGACUACUGGCGUGCGGCCCUUGAUGCUGCCCCACACGGAUAUGAGAGGCUUUGCUGAAACAUGACGACAGAAGGAAAAUCGGGCAAUACCAAUACCAGCCAUACGCACUCGUGAGCCAACACCUGCAUCUGGGUUCGUUCCUAAUAAGGGCCUAUCCGCUAGUGGGGCACAUCGGUAGGAUUAACGUUUGGUCGGGCGCGACGGCCGAUGCAUAACUCGGCACUAUGGCCUCUACAAGCUCUACACAUGUCGGUGCAAGCCCAGGGCCAGCCAUGUUCCAAAGCUUCUGAAUAAUACUUUACGUGGAUAAAGUCUUAAGAUGAGGGCAUCGUAAGCCCCAAAACUGGCCAACCGUUAAUCGACCAAAUAAAGUGCGCCACGAUGAACGCGCCUCGCCAUGAUGUACGACAACUCAUCGCCAUUUCGGAUCUGUGUUGCUAUAUAAAACGUUUAGUUUAUUAUGCCACUUUAUUGCGCUUCUGUGGUGUACUAGUCGGCUCAAGCUGCUCUAAUCAGAGUGUAAUAAAUUGGCAUCCCAGCUUGGAUCGGUGCGCAUUCUCUUUCAGUUGGUAUCGAGUAGGCAAUCCUGCCUACACGCUCCUCGCUGGUCGUCUUCGUCUUCUUUUUGGUUACCAUGGCCCUUGUCCCUUCGGAUUUCCCCAGCCAGCAUGACCGCUCCCGUUCGCGGCCCAGUGAUGCCGCAGACUACGCCGGCCGCCGCGCUAAGCCCUUCACACCCAUGGACCACCCCGCCCCUGUCAACCCCGUGGCCGACACCAUCACUUCUCCACGUCGCCGUAUCACUCCGCCUCGCCUCCAGCGCUCGCCCCCAGCUUCGCGUACCCGUCCCCAAAUCCCCGACACCUUCAUCGCCAGUUUUUCGGAAACCAUCGCUACCGCCAUCCGCGCCGCCAUGGCCAACCUCCCGGCCUGUAACGACCGUCCUCCCUCUUCCGUAACAACCCCCACCUACGCUCCCCACCCCAACGCCUCCCAACCCGCUACACCAUCGUCGGCGAAGCUCAACCUGCUACACGUAGCCCGCGACUUUCCUACGUUUGAUCCCAAGGUGCCGCAUGCGGACGUCAUAAGCUGGGAUGUCCAAAUGCGCCACAACUUCGAGAUGGCCGGCAUCCACCCUGAUAGCUCAGGUGCUGCAGCCGUUGCCCUCGCGGUCCUUCGUGGAAGAAUCGGAGAUCACCUACGACGCCUCCACGCGGACCCUACCACGCGUUUCCCUUCAUACCACGCGGUGCUUCGCGCCCUCACCCCCUUUGCCCCGGUCAUCAUAAACCGCGAACUCGAUGCACAGCUCGCCCUGUUCGGCUUGAAGCAGGGUUCAGGACCCCAUGGCCUUCGGCGCUACAUUGCCGAGUACAAACGUCUAAUGGCCGACGUGCCGUACCGUCAUGAGAUCGACCACGUCCUUUUCUUCGCCCGGGGAUUACAGGACAACCUCCGAGCGGAACUCUUUUCACGCUUGGGCUACGGCGUCUCCAACGUCAAGCUCCAAGACAUGAUAGACUUGGCGCUCACUAUUACGGCGGUGCGCUCACUUAGAUAACGAGAUGCCGCCCAUCACCUGGGCCGUGCAGACUACUAACAACCUUGAUGACCAGGCGACCACUGCUGGGAUGAUCUGAUGGACACCGCCGCCGCCCUGAACCGUCUACCCCGGGACAAGGAGAAAGCUAAAGGCAAAAGAGAACACACUGCCGCCGCCAACCAAGGCACCUUCUAGGUGGGAGACCGUGUCCGCCUCGCACCUUACCCCAUUACACUCCUUCGCCAAACUCCAUCCUCGCAACAUCAGUCCCUUCACCGUCGCCGUCGUCAUUUCCCCGGUUGCUUAUCGCCUUCAACUUCCCCCCACCUUCGGUCGAAUUCACUCCGUCUUCCACAUCGCCUCGCCUGCUUCCGCCUGGACGGUCAACGAUCCCGUGCUUUUUCCAAAGCGCCGUCUCACCGCCACAACCACCUGGAGUCCGUCCCCACCACGCUGGAGUCCUCGUUCGACAGCACCGACACUAUCGUUACUGCCGUUCGCCGUGUCUACAGCAAGCGUGCACGACCGUCCGUUAUGUUCUUGGUACAGUGGUCUGCUAGUAGUGUAGUGGUCAUGACGCGUCCUGGGAACCGUACGAUGACGUCCGCUGCCUACCAGCGCUUCGUGCCGUCCUGGCGACCCCAGCCUGGACCUCGCGCCCCGGUGAACGACAAUCGAGCGCAAUUUCGGAUCCGUGUUGCAUUAUAAGAAGAUAUUGUUGUUUAGUUUGUUUCGUCAUCUUUAUUGCGCUUCUGUGGGGUGUUCAUCGGCCUAAAUAGCUCUAAUCAGAGCGUAACAAAUUGGCAUCCCAACUUGGAUCGCAAGACAUUCCCUAAUACUUCUAUCUGGAAAGAAGGCUACAUCUCUUUGGCUGGUGUACGGUAACACCGCACAUAGCUAAGCUUUGACAAAGCUCUCCACGGCAUCCACCAUUGUAAGCAUUUGCCAUUGUCAACCUUUUUCGUUGUUGAAUUAGAAUGGCACCAUCAUGUAAAUGUAUAUAAAAUAGCGAUAUUGAUGUGCCCCAGCAAACUACGAUGAAAUAUGGUCGUUGCCUCUCCGCAACCGUCAACUGAUCCAACUCUCCGCUCUGGUAAACCCGAGAAACUUUCGUUGUUCUGCAUUUUAUCGGCGUAAGUGCCAGUAGGUUAAGGCUCUGGAGCAAAUCUUCAUCCAUCAGCACUGAUAUUGCCAAAAUAAUACCCGUACCCGCCUUGCGGGUCUCUCCGCACUGCUGAACCAGAGGGCGAAUGACACUGUCGUCAUAUUUCUAUCGUCAUAAAUAUUGUUACCACUUUUGCCCGCGCAGAACAAGCAUUAUUAUCACAACGAGUCACACGACAAGUGGGACGUUCGCCAUGGCUACGACAAUGUCGUAUGCGAACUUUUGAACCGGCUUCUCAACGACCUAUGGAAGCACGUUUGUUACGCUUCCAUGCAAUCAUUACCUGUGUUACUCCUAAUACGUGCCCAAAAUGAAGGUUCAGCCUACUGAAGUAGGAAAGCGAAAUCGCGAUGAGCACACAGACACGCUGAUUAAAUCUUUGCUAGACGAAGAGAAGGCAAGCAAGAAACAGAAGAGAGGUUCACCACAUGCAGAUGUCGGCACAAAGCCAGCUGUCCAGGUCCGAAAGGGCAAAACGUUUGCUGAGAUCGAGGCGGAGGAGGGAGGACCCAUUAAAGAGUCCCUAGUUGGGAUGGCACACACAAAACGCGCGCUCGACCGCAAGAAGAGGGAUGUGGAAGUUGGCGACACGGAGUUGGUUACAAACACGGAGCGCUACGAGAAGGACACGCUGGAGGUGGAGCAAGAGGACGGAAUCACGUUUGAGCCCUUCAACCUCAAGCAGGAACGCGAGGAAGGCUACUUCGACGAGGAUGGCAAUUACGUGCUACGGAAGCAGGCUGGCGAGGAGGGCAAUGAGGGAGAGGAUGCAUGGCUGAACUCGGAAGAAGCUAAGGUGGUCAGCGAUGCAGUCCGACGGAAAAUUGAGGAGCAGCGCGCCCGCGAUGAGGCGGCCGCACGAAGAGGGCCCCUUACGGAACGACAGAUAGCGCAGGUCCGGCUUGCAGCCUGUGCCACGCCUGUAAUAGAUACGGGUAGAAGAUAUAGGCUAGAAGCUCACUGCAUGGCACACUGCGCGCGGCAAAUCACGAAACCUAGAGGACACGAGCGAUACCGGGAUUCGGGCUGACGCCGCGAAAUGAGGCAGGUUAGUGGUUAGGGGGCAGAAAUCGGCAACACGUAGGGGAAGGGGAUCGAGGUGGGAAUGGCCGGCUCAGUAUUGCGCCGCUGCAGAAAAGGAGCGAGACGCUGCAGCCACCCAAUGCACCAUGGCGCCAGACGGUCAGUCGUUACCUCAAGUCCUUCCCCCUGCGUCCGUCGGGUGUCCUUUGGAGGAUGGGCAUGCGGAGAAAAAUCCCACCAACUCCAGGCCGCAUCGUUGGUCCGCCUCCUCGUCAUUGGUCAUUGGUCAUAUCUAGUUCUGUUCCUUUGCUUUCUCAUCACCUCCCUCUUCACACUCUCUUCACACUCCCUUCACUCUCCCUCAACUCGCUCUUCACGCUCUUAUCUCCCUGCACUCUUCUCUCCUGUCCCAGCGCAAGGCGGACAUGGCUGCCUUAAUGGGCCCUGAAGAAACUGUCACUCGGGCCCUGAAACGCCUUGGCGCCGCCGCCGCCGCCGCCGCCGCUGCUGCUGGCGGCUGCGCCACCGCCGGCGGCGGCAGCGGCCUGCCGCACCGCGCCAUGGGCAAGCGCGAACGUGCACGGCUCCUCGCCCAACAGCAGCAACAACAGCAGCAGCGGGGCAUGGAUACAGUCGCCGCUGGCUCCGUUGACACCGCGGUAAGGGUACGGGGGCACUUCACUCGCCUGACGGAACUGGCCGAUGAGUUGCUCGGGGAGGGGGAGCUCGAGAUUUAUGAAGCAACACAGGAAGAGCUGCUGCGAUCCGCGCGAAUGUGGCUGCCCAACCUGACACUGGCGGCGGCGGCGGAGCCGCCUCCGAUGCCGCCGUCGGGUGCUGCUGCUACUGCCGCCGCCAGCAAUCAACGCGGCGCGAGAGACCAAGCCGAUGACAGCGACGAGGAUAUGUUCGCGGAUGAUAAAGAUGAGAAUCGCAUUGGCGAGAAGGCUGCGGGAGAGGGGCCAGGUAAUCUAGCAGCUGCAGCAGUGGCGGCGGUGGAUGAGGACCAGGACAUGUUUGCGGAUGAUGAUGAUGAUGAUGGUGAGGCCGGUGGCGGCGGUGGGGCUGGACGUGCGGCGACAGGGGCUGCCGCGAGUGGUAGGGGCGCGGGCGGCGGCGGCGGCGGCGGUGGCGGAGGUGAUGGCGAAGGCCGCAGCAAGCGAUCGGAGCUCCUGGGCGACACUUCGCCGUCCGCUGCAGCAGCAGCAGCAGCAGCAACGCCGUCCAUAGGUGACGCCACCACCGCAGCAGCACCACUACCGCCGGCAACGGCGGCGGGAGCAGCAACACCAGGUGGUGGUGGUGGUGGUGGUGGUGGUGGCGGUGGUAACUCCGCCGUUGACUAUAGCUCCUGGCCAGUCAAGGAACUCAAGCGUGUGCUGCAGGUGGGUGCAGGAGGAGGCUUAAUGGUGCAGUGAUGUAUGUGUGUGUGGGGGGGUUGGUUGCGGGAAGAGGAAGAGGGCGAAUUAAUGAACGGAUGAGAAGCGCCGAGAAGGAACUGCUGAGGAUGGCGCACCAGGGUGGAUGGCAGGCGGGUGUAUGUAUGUAUGUAUGUAUGUAUGUAUGUAUGUAUGUAUGUAUGUAUGUAUGUAUGUAUGUAUGUAUGUAUGUGUGUUACAUCCUGACGAAUAUUUGUGUUAUUGUGUUACCCAACUGGUAAUUAAUACUCAACGGUUCACUACUCCGGGUUUGGAGGAGGAAGGCAGUUGAAGAGGAGCUUUCCCGGGCUUAAUAUAGUUCCUAGUUCCUAGUUCCUAGCAUCCUCCUGGCAUCCUUCUGGAAACCAACUAUUGACGAACCGCAUCACGCUGUCCCACCCCCACCCACCCCCCGUCAGUGUCGAAACCUACUAACGUUACAUGCUUUCGGUUCCAAAUUUUAUCGCCUCCGCUGUGGUGUUGUGUCCUGAUCAGGAACGCGGAGUGGAUUCCAGCGGGUUCGUGGAGAAGGCCGACCUGGUCGCGAAGGUGAAGGAGGUGGUGGACGUGGCGGGUGGCACCACCGGCGGCAGCACCGCGGCUGGGGUUCGUGGCGGCGGUGGGGAGGGGGAGGGGGAGUUCGUGGCGCCGCCGGGGUACGUCUUUGACCCCAGCAGCGGCUACUUCUACUCGGAAGACUCGGGAAUGUACUACGACACCAGCAGCGGUGGGUACUGCCAGGCUGUGACGGGGAGGUGGUUCUAUCUGGAUAAAAGCAGCGGGACGUUUGUGGAUUGGAACCUGUGAGGCACGACAGACAGACGGAUGGACAGACAGACGGACGGACAGACGGAUGGAUGGGUGGAUGGACAGACAGACAGGCGGAUGGAUGAGCGGAUGGAUGGACAGACGAACAGACAGACAGACGGAUGGACGGAUGGACAGACGAACAGACAGAUGGACCACAGGAUAACCUUCGGGGUAGCCUUCCAGAGGAAAAGACGGACAUACACACACACAGAGAAACGUGCGGACCACGGACGGGAUGUCUCCUGGAUCAAUGAGAGGACAUAUGGACAGGCCGGGCGGUCGUGAUGCCCAGGAGGAGGAGGAGGACGAGGAGGAGGACGAGGGCACAUGACGGCGGCAUGAGGACAGACGGCCCUGGGGGCCCGCACGGCACGGGAAAAGGGGAAGCGGGAAGAACGGUGGCCGGCAGGGUCCUAGCUGGUUCGCAUGCUGCCAUGCACGAAGAUGUAACGUUCUUUAAUUUUAAUGGACGUUUGGAGGAAACAACACAGAGAAGAAAUAUAUAAUUAUUUCGCGGCUUCAUGUGUUUAUUAGCUUCAUCACUACAGCUCCACUCCGGUACGUGUGCCGUACCAGUUGUACGGCAAAGACCAUGGCUCCUCUGCCAGCAUUUAGGUAGAUGAAUGUUUUGUACCGAAGAUCCGUACGGUGUACGGUUGCUCGUCUGCAGAAAAGUUGGGGCCGUGUACACGCAGAGCUCGCGGACAUCCUUCGCGCGCGGGAAGGUGGCUUAAGAGUAACCCGCCUGCCUCUUUGUCUCACUCCUGAUCAGAUGCACUUUCAAAUUAAUUAGCACAGGAAGGUGCUUCCUUGGUCAUUUUUUUCCUAGACACCACGCCUUUCAUGUACUGCAAAAGCCGUUUCGCCGUCGUACAUGGCGUUGUACAGAACCCGCCGCGCAACAAAAUGAAAGGAAUGAAGACCGCCGAUUCGUUUAAUCGUUCCACACGGCACACGUUUUUGAGGUUGCCGUACACGCUAGGCUGUGUGUCCCGUGAACAUCUCCGGCACCCCCCGGCUAACCAACUUCUCACACACGAAGCAAACGUACGGCAUUUGGAAACUUCCCGCGGCAACCUUCAAGCUUUUUGACCGCCUUUAACGCCGGUCGCCACACUCUUCCACGGUAAUGACAUUCUAAGGGCGUUAUUCCACAGUGGCCGCGGGGUGCGAAGGGGGUUCUUGGGUGGGAGGGAGUGUGUGCACCACCACACCGCGCUCUCCCUUCGGCGAUGAUGAGCGGCGAGCCAGUGUGGGAGGGUUACGGGGCCCUUAACGGGGGAUAAGUUGCCGACACCGCAUCUAUGCGGGCAGCGUGAUACUGGCGAGCCAAUGAUAACACCCUUUUCACCCUAUUCUGGUGCAUUAGACAUUUUACCGGAAAACCUUUUGGCAAGACGCGCAGCACGAGCUGGCCUAGCAUUCCGGAGCAUUCUGGAAGUUUUGGUUGCUAGAAAACGACGAAUCCGGCAGCAUUUCGAAGGUGUUGCGAACGAUGGGAGAUUGAAACGGGCUCCGCAGAGCACGGCGGGGCGGGACGUGUAGCACUGGGCACGGACCUGGUACCGGGAAUAGCCAGAUAGCCAGACGUCUGACCAAGGGGGUAUGCGGUGUAAGAAGGCACAUUAAGGGGGGGCCGGUAAUUGUAAGCAAGCAGGUUCAGGUCAUCUGUGUGCAGCCCGCAUCCAUGCUUUGUGGGACAACAUAGGCGAGCGAGCUUCUGCACAUCCACUCGCCCCCCAAUCAGACCUGGUAUGGGCUUUCUAGGCAUCGAGCACAUGAAGGGACGCUAUAAAGUGGGAACCUGAACGUCUGGCAAGGAUGCUGGAACAAAUAUGGUCCCACCGCAAUCCUAUAUCGUUCCCUUUGGUCGUAGUAUCCUUUAUGACUUGCUUUGUCUGAAGUGCGAGGUAGGCUGGUGUGCUUAUAGGCGGUCCGGCAGCCCUUGAGCCCUCGGCUCGUAUUGGGCGGUUUGCAGGUACGGGGAACGCACCCCACGACCAUGUAACACACACACAUACACACACAUACACACACAUACACACACAUACACACACAUACACACAUACACACACAUACACACACAUACACACACAUACACACACAUACACACACAUACACACAAACACACACAUACGCACACAUACAUACAUAUACACACAUACAUACACACCAGGGGUUGUCAGUCACUCUGUUCACGAGUGCGUGUUUGUGCGCGCCUCCUACCAUAGACUCUUGCAAAAACUCUUGUAAACUCAGCACUUAGCACAUCCACCCAGCCUAACUGGAAUUCAGC